This 44447-nucleotide long non-coding RNA is filed under the name Cucumis sativus (cucumber). RNAcentral describes it as "long non-coding RNA (CSAT_LNC002620)". The stretch from base 13007 to 13078 matches the Rfam family "tRNA". Lineage: Eukaryota; Viridiplantae; Streptophyta; Magnoliopsida; Cucurbitales; Cucurbitaceae. The record is from RNAcentral.
UGGGGGGGGGGGGGGGGGGGGGGGGGGGGGUCUAGUUUUUAAAGAAUAAACUGAGAAAUACUCAUUAAUAAGAGAAAAAACCAUUUUACAAUAUCAACUAGUGUAUGUCCCAUGCAGCUCAUCUAAUUUUCAUAUAACUUAAACUUGCUACACCAGUUGAAUUUUUUUCUUCCUCUUGAAAAAUGUCAUUUGGAAUUAAGAAAUAUUGCAUUUUAAUUAGGAAACUCAUAAAAUAUCAAUAUCUAUGGAACUGACCAGUAAUGUGUAGUUUUAAAACCCUCAAAUAUAAAAUAAGAAUAUACCAACUCUUACCUACGUUGUGACCCAAAAUUUAACUCUCCAUGAUAAAUGCCAGCUCCAGAAAGCCAUGCAAAAUGUAUUGCUCUUCUUUGCUUUAUGUAGAAAUGCAGUUCACUGUAAUGAUUAAAUUUAUAACAGUAUUGUUAAUCAAUUUUAACAGCAUGGAUUACCAAUUAUUAGAGGUAAAACAAGCCAAGAACAAAAGAUUCCAAAUGCCACUUGCCUAUUGGGUAUUUCACCAGGAAGUUCCAUGAAAUGCACUGCACGCUCCAAAUAAGUAGAGAAGACAGUCUGGAUACAUAAAUAUAAAGAAACAACAUUGUUAACCAGAAUGCAAUAUAGAUCACUUAUAGUAGAAUGAAACUAAUUUACUUGGUAGAGCUAGAUUGCCCAGGAAAGGAAAAUGGACAUUCAAAUAACUUCUGUAGAAACUCAAAGUAUAACUAUCUGGGAACUGACAAUUGCUGGAAGAGGCAGGAAUGUCAAAGAUAUAGGAGACCCGUAGGAAGUAAUUGACAAAUAAGAAACCCUAAAACAGACUGCAUAUUUCCAUGCUCCUGUAGGUUGACCCUAUAUCUAACCCUACUAAUACCAUGGGGGGUAAAACAAAGAGAAAAAGAAGCCAUCUUUGUGAUUACACAGCAUAAUCUAAAUUUCUGGCCUUCAAAACAUUAGAUUGACUAAAUUUAUGUUUAUUCACAUUGAACACACAAUACUUGAACUCAUAGUUAGAUAUCACUUAAAAACAUUUCUUUCCUAGCUUAUCUAGCCCUAAAUUUUUCUCUUAUAUAAUAUGUAAAUGAAUUGUGAAUCAAGAAAAUUUGAGAACAGGGUGCUCCAAGGAGGGAUAACAGUAAAAUAAGAAAAUAAUGCACCAUACAUACAAUUUCAAUCAAAAUUACAUGAUCGAUAUAAAUAGAAGAUAAGUUCGUCACUUGAGCAACUAUGAGAACUACAAGACUUAAAAUGAUAACAUAAGAAGCCCAAACAUGUAUUUUAAUUUUACAGAAGAAUGGAAAAAAGAAAGACGCACAAACUUCUAAACCUAGCAUUAAGUUGAGUAGGCACUCAAGUUAUGACAAAAGGUCUUGGCUAACAAAUGAUUAUGCAUUGAUUUUAUUUUUAUUUGGUAUCCAUUAAUUAGCACUGAUAUGCUACCGUUACAGAAAAUACUUGUUACUCUGCAAAUUUGUUUUAGGACCCAUAUUACAUUUUACAAACAUUUGUGCCUAGAAAAAAGCAGUUUGGAGCUAAGUUCAUCUUGAUCUUACUUAAUAAAAACAUAAAAUGGGUGUCACUGCAAAUGAAGACAACAUAAAUAGCAUGGUAGGAUGAUUUAGCCUAAGUAACCUCAAGGAGAAAUCCUCCAAGAACCAAGAUUCUGGAUUUUUUUAUUAGAAUGAAUAAUGUGCUUCAUACAAGAGGAGAAGACUCCUAUUUAUAGAGGUCUAUUACAAGUGGGGGUAAAAAGGGAAUUAACCUAGAAUAUUACCUAGUUACCCAAUUAACCCUUAGCCUUCUUAUAUCAUAGGAAUGGCUCAAGUUGACUCAUUUGUACAAUAAAUGCUUCCAAAGGCCAGGAUGAGAAUCUAACACCACAAAAUUUAAAAAUUUUGAACAAAUCAGGGAUUAAAAAUUAAAUUACCUCCAACGAUCCUGUUCCGGUAAAAGAGUACAGUCGCGUUGGAGUAACGGCCAUUACAUAAUAUCUCAUUCCAUUUAGUAUGCUAGUUGUUUCCAUCUGCAUGAAAAGCAAGCCAAGUGAGCAAUGACAGAAUUGAAGUUGUGAACUGACAACUGUGUGCUAACAACCAUGAUGACAAAAUCAAUUGUAGACUAAGAAAGAGGAAAGGAAUUAAAAAUACAAUAAAUUAAUAGGGGCAGUAAUUUUUUCAACCUUGAUCUAACACUUUUGACAGUUUUCAAAGUUAUUAGAAGUCAAGCUCAUAGAAGAGUCAGCUAAUUACUCGUAAUGCCUAAUGGAGAAAAAUUAUGAAAUUUCCAGCAAAAAAUGAUAGUGUGCUCAUCCGAGCAGAAAUAUUAUAAUGUUCUGAUACUCAAUUAAAUUUUAACUAAUCAUAUAAGGAAGUCAAGUAGGUAGAAAGAACGAAGAUUGAAAACUAAAAUAUGGAAAGAUAGAAACAAAUGGGCAUGAAGUACCUGCAAGUCCAUAAAAGCUUCCGGAAGUUCUGCUAACUCAAAAAGAAACUUUACAUACUUUUCCUUUUUUUCCUUUUCAUCCACCGCAAGUUCAAAUAGUUGUCCAUUGUCAGUACCAAGAAUGACCUCCUUUGUAGAAGCUGCUCUUAAAAGUGGCGUGCAGUCACAGCAGUAAAUAAAUUAGAGUCAACUAUAAUGCAAAUGUCAACCAGUAAACAAAAUAAGAAUUUGAAAGCAAACCUUCAGUUAUAUGUUGCCUAUUCCAGGCAACAGUAUUUACAACAAGACCUUUCAAUCUGGCUAAAAGUCGAGGUUUUGACCACUUGGCGUGCAUAUAAAAAGUAUCGGCGCCACCAGUACCAACAAUUGUCGUGAUACAAUGACUACCUCCUGGAUCAACAAAUACUCUGUGGAUUGAUUGAUCUCCAGGCCGACCCACAGAAAGAUCAAAGUCUGUAUUUCCAAACAUUAGUGUUUUGCAAUCUUAUUUCAAGUUAUACUGAAAUAUUCAUACAAUAAAGUAGUGGUCAGAUAAAAGUAAAUUGAAAGAAAGAACAAACAAAGCAUGAUUCUGAUACAAUAGAGUUACUGAUCAAAUAUUUGAAAUAUAUUUACACAUUUGAAGUAAAAAGACAAUGAAGAAGUGAGAUGUAAGCUCCACCCACCCAACAUUCUUAGCAAAUGAACCAUGACAAAAUCGAGAUGAGAUUACAGGAAACCAAUUUCACUGAAGCUCAAGUAUUAAUUGGAGCUGAAAAGCUAGUUUCAAUUUUUAAACCCCUGUACCACCCUCGAAAUAGAAAAAUAAAAUUUUCGAUUGAGUCAGCUAAAUGAAUAACUUAAUAGGAAUUCAUUGAGUUUGCAGCUCUUUCUCCACAUCCAUUCUACUAGCCAACAUUCUCCUUCAGGCAAAAUGAUAAUUGGAGACAAGAACAUAAACGAUGGAGGAAAACAUUUUCGUGAUUGUGAAAAAAAAAUGUAAUUAGAUUAGAUCGCAUAGAAGUAAUUAGAUGAAGAAUCAUACCGAUCGAAUCUCCGACUCCAAAGUCAUAGCGGGUGACCCAACCUUUGCUGGUGCCUAACAUAAUGACAUCGUUCCCAGCAGCCAUGCAGCUGAUUACUCCCCUGCCUUUGGCCGCAUACCUUUCCAGAAGAUCGACGGUGAAAGCCGGCCUACCUUGUUCCAUUUCGGAAAACUGAGAGAGUUCAAGUGUGGAAUCAGAGAGACCUAGGAAAAUUGCCGGGAAAUUUUACUCCAAGGAGCCGUUCGUCGGCGAUCGUAGAGGGAAUUUGCACCGUUUGAUCAUAUCUACAGUUUGCUCUUCGAGAAGUUCUGGAAACGCACCGUAUUACUGCAAUUUGCAACAGCCAACACCAACAGAUAUGCCAACUGAACGGUUCGCUUUGGUUUCUAACUUAGAAUGAAAAAAUUAUUUUAAAUGACCGUAGACACGUAUUAGUGUAACGCAAUCUAAUCUCGUUAUAUUUAUAAAUAAUUUUAUUUAUUUUGCUAUAUUUGAAAACAAUCCAGGUAAAUAAUAAAUAAUCAAUAAUAAAUAAUCAAUAUGAAUGUUUUUAAAUGCUUAAAAGGUUAUGAAUUUAAUUGCUAUCACACUCUACAUUUCUAUCCUCUUAGUUUAUUCAAAUAUUUUUUUAAAAUAUGGUUUUUUUUCUUUCUUGAAUGUAUUUCUUUUUUAUAGAAAAUUAAAACAAAUACAGAGUUGCAGUUUUUUUUUUUUUUUUGGAGAAAACCAACAUGCUCAAAUUGUCACAUCAUCAUAGAGAUUCUAGUAUUGCUUGAAUAUUAUAAAACAACUCUUAUUUAGGACUAAACCUAAGGAUUAUAAAGCCAUACCAUAGAGACUAUGUGAAUGAGAAGAUAAAUCUUUUAUUACUGUUUUUCAAAUCAAUAAUUCAAAUAGUGCAAAUAUUAUAUAAAUUUCUCAAAUUACAAUUAUUUACUAAAUGUUUUAAAGGGUAGUUGUAAAUUUAGCUAUUAAAUUCAAAAUAAUUAAGUAUAUAGCAACAUUUUAAAAAAAUUGUAAAUAUAGCAAAAUUUUUCAAAUUCUAUCAAUGAUAUGAGUUUAUCAACGAUAAACCAUGUUGCAAAUAUUGGUCUAUCAUUGAUAGACUAUACGAAAUGUAUCAGCGAUAUCGGUGAUAGUUUUGCUAUAUUUGCAAUUUUUUUAAAAUUUUACUAUAUCCUAAUUAUUAUUUUUAAAGUGCAAUUUUUCACUUAAAUAUGGUAAAAAUAUAAAGACAGUUUUAGAUCAAAAUAUCUAAAACUAUUUUAAAAAACAUAUUCAUCGUAAAUUUUACAAAAUAUUUACCACCUAUAACAAAUUUUAUCAUUGAUAGUCAUUGAUAUACUAUAGUGGUAAAAAAACUAUUACCGCUAGAAUAAAAAAAUUUGUUAUAGCUUAUAAAUAUUUUAAUUUAUUUUACUAUUUUAAAAAACGUCCGUUAAUCAAAUAUAUAUUUACUAUCGGAGUCCAAAAACAUAAAACACAACCCAUGUUUUCUAUUCUCAAGAGAAAAAAGAAAUGCUACCAUUAACUCUUUUUUUUUUUUGCAGGUGGUCGAAAAUAAUAAAUACAAUGAUAGUUUGUUACACACAAAAGGGUGAUGAAAGAUGAUAGUAUGUUUGAGAGAGAGUCAGGAAUUAAAAUUUGAUAUCUAUACAUAUCAUAUGAGAUCUCUGUUGUCGCCACUCAAACACUAAACUCGAAGAAAAGAUAGCGGUUAGCUUCAGAUGCGGCUCGAAUCUCUUCCAAAUAUGAACUUUCUUGUCCAAUCUGAUACCACUAGAUAUCUUGUGCGCCAGCUGACUUGCUUGCUGAGUAUACGAAACCAAAACAAAUUCAGAAUUCAAGCGUUGAGCUACACAACUAAGUGCUUGUUCGAGAAUGUUUGAAGUCAAUCAAAUUCAAUUCAGUUUUUUAUUUUACACUUUUUCAUAAGGUUGGAAUUGAUUUUUAAAUGAUUAAAAAUAUUCUUUUAGUGAGAUUAAAAAUGAUAAAAAUGAUUUUAACUAUUUUAAAAUCGUCAAUUCGUGGCAUAAUAGAAAAGGGUUGGAAGAAUCUUCUGAUGAAAAAGCAGCAGUAGGUAAAUCACCUUGCAUAUACAGAAUACCAGAGCCAUUGAGUGCUGUGACCCAUGGAAACCCAAUCUCCAGGGAGUUCGGCAGCAGCUUGUUCUCCUCCUAAAGGAGCGAACUGUCCCAAAUGCUUGUACCUAUUAGACAUGGAAUGAAAAUUAUUUGCCUCAGAUCUAAAGAGAAGGAUAUGGUGGAAUUAUUUGUGAACUUUAUCGUGAUCUAUUCUCUCUACAAUCAAGGGAAAUUAUGAUAGAAUAAUGCACGAUGAGAUAGCAAUGUGAAAUCUCUUUAUUCAUGUCAAAGAAGAUAUUAAACAGCAGUUUGAACCAGAAGAAUGAAUGUGAAGGAAGCAUGGAUCUUCUAUGACCAUUUCGUGCUGUGACAUCAAGGAUGAUCUAUUUGGUAGAAAUUCUUUGGAUGUUUCUUAAACGGAUUAAUUUAAUUCUUUUGACAUGAAUUUGUACAAACUUUUACUGUAUGUUUAUAUGUAUGUCUGCCUAGCUAAAAAGUAGAACUUAUGUCAUACCACUUGAGAUUUGAAACAAAGGUGCAGAGCCCUUCCAUAUUUGUCAUUUUGUUUUGAAAAUGUGGGAUGGAUUUUGUGCCAUACUGGUGUUUGCAUGUUCUCUUGACUUCUACUAGGAAUUGUCAGGAUAGUAUGGAGGUCUUUGUCCAGCCCUUUUGUAAUGAAGGACACUUUAACAUUUUUUUGCUAAUAUUGGCUUGAGAACCAAAAGAGUCUUUAUGAGUAUUGAGAUUUCUCGGAUAGAGAUUUAGGAUGCAGCUCACUUCAAUGUCUAUUUUUUGGGUUUUUCAUUAUAAUUAUUGUUUUAAUCGGUGUUUAUACAGUUAUCACUUAUCCAAGACCCUAAAAAAUUGCAGGGUCUUGAUGUAGUUUCUUUCUGUUUCUGUUUUUUCUUUUCAUUUUGGCUUUUGUGAAAUGGGCCUUUUUAUGAUGGCCUCGUCUUUUGUACUUCCAGUUCAUUUGUAGCUGGUUUUUCACACGUAAACAUAUUUAUAAAGGAUGUUGACUUAAACUGAGAGCAGCCUAUUUUCGGUCUGGAACAUGGAAUAGAAACAAAUAAGCUUGCAGACAUACCGAAAGGGAAGAAAUUGAUGACGUCCAGAACUCUUAAAACGUCGAGGACCUUCAGGAUUCUCAGUGCAAUAAUCUCUGCGGUUGAAGCACCUGGAAAGAUACGCACCUUGUUGGGCAGCAACCUGAACAGGAAUAUUUAUUUAUUAAAUAACUUGAAAGUCUUUUCCAUGUAGACCAUAAGUUUACAUAAGAGCUGACUUGAACAUGGAAGUUUGUAUCAAUGAAGAUGUGCAUUUUACCUGUGCGGUAGCAGGCAGACUUUUCAUCUGCGUGUCGGCAAUAGAAAGAGCUGACUUAAAUCCUUCAAUAUCUAUUUCAUUCUCAUGUCCCUGAGAAUCCCUUAAGAGAUCUUUUACAUCGCGGAGAUGUUUGCUCCUCAAAAAUAUCUCUACUUGAGGAUACCUUAUGAGAAUAUCAUCUAGAACAUCUUGAAAUUCUGUAACUGUCAGGGUACCAGAGUUAUCUUUGUCUGCAGCUUUAAAUAUGGUGGCAAUAUCUUCCUAGUGAAAACACCAUUUGCAAUUGAUAAGCAGUCAAAGGCUAUAGUAGUCGAUUGAAAACCAAUAUUAUGAGAAAUCCCUCCACAACUCGAGAAAAAUUCAAGUACUUCAACACUUAAAUUUAAGAACUUCAAGGAAGUAAUAAAAUGGGUGAAAAUCUAGAGCUUCAAGAGUGAAGACCAUUGGUAAAAUUUGAUAAAUGUUAUAUUGCUGUACGAAAAUUGCUCUCAUCAAAAUCAAAUUGGCAGAUAGACCCUGCACUAAAAUAUAAUCAAGCAUUUAUGGCUUCAUAUACCAUAAUUUUGCGUUGGUCAAUUGUAGCACAAUCACCAAUGGCAUACACAUUUUGAGCGCCCUUCACUUGAAGCCAUUCAUCAGUGGCUAGAAUGCGUCUACUACCCUAUAUAUCAGAAAGAACUAAUAGUUAGAAACAGAAUAACCACCCAGGAAAAGAAUUGUGGCAUCCUGGGAAACAUAUAAGACCAGAUAGGAUAAAUGCAUCGGUCAAGUAUAGCGAAAUGUAGACCUUUGUUUUUAUCUAUUCUUCCUCUCAAAUGAUACUCAAAAGCACAUACAUCUUAAUCAACAAACCUGGCCAAUCUGCUCCAUGAAAUCCUUCACAACAGGACGAGUCAUGAUACCCGUAGACCAGAUAAUUAGUCCAUGCGGCAUCGAACAGGAUUCUCCAGUUGAUUUUACCUUCAUCUCAAUUUCUUUAUCAGAUACACUGACAACUCGACAUCCUGUGUAUACAUCGAUGCCAUCUCUUAGGAAUUUUUGUUCAGCAAAUGAACUAAUUCUUUCAUCAAACCUGCAUUAAGCAAGAAAGAUUUCAUCAACUUACCAAACCAAUAGAUCAAUAUAAAAAGAUGGUCAGAUUUUUCCUUUAUAAAUUAAUCCUCUUAGGCUACAGUAUGUACUUAAUAUUUUGAUUUUGUAGAGAUUCAAGAGCUACAGAAAAAUCAUACAAUCCAAAAGACGAGUAAAAUUUUGAGUUAAUUUUCUUCACGUUCCAUAAAAGCAGGCUUAGUAUAAACACUCAUUCCUUACGCAUUCAAAAUGUGAUCUCCAGAUUGAAUUACUGAAAUUUUCACUAGAUCUUUAACCGAAGGAUAUAAGUUAACCAAAUCUUCUUCAAAAAAGUCAUGAAGCUCUGCAGCAAAUUCAACUCCAGUGGGACCCCCUCCAACAAUAACGAAAUGAAGAUUUCUCCUUCGCUCUUCUUCACUUAGACUAGGAAUCACAGCCAUUUCAAAGCAAUCUAUCACACCUCUGCGGAUCUUCUGAGCAUCUUCCACUUCCUACAAUGGUUACCGAAUCAUAACAUGGGAAUUAAAUAUGAUAUCUAACAAAUUGACAAUGAUCUACAAAAGAAACAAGGACCGAGAUCGACAAACUACCAACAAAAUUUCAGAAAAUGCCUAACCCUAAAAAGUGCAUAUCAAACUAUGAAAACAAAACUGCUUACCUUGAGAAAAUGGCAGUUUUCCUUGACACCAGGAGUAUUAAAAGUAUUAACUUGCGCUCCCAUUGCUAUUACUAAAUAGUCAUAUUCUAAGGCAAACUCCCUAUUGCCAACCAAAUUAUUGUCAACAUUAGACUGGCAGAAAACCUUCUUGUUAGCAGCAUCGAUCUUAAGGCAUUCAGCUUCCCAGAACUUAAUUUCACCUUUUCUCUGUUGCAGAAGCAAUAUUGUCGAUCAGGCACCUUCAUAAGUUCAAUUAAUUGCGAACAAAAACAAAAUUAAACUGUACUCUUCUCCAAGCGAUUUUUCUUUCUUUUUUUUUUUUUUUUUGUGAAAAUGUACAGUCGACCGCUACUUUUAAGGACUCUUCAGCUCUAAGGCCCUUAAGCUGCGUUCUCCUUUUUUUUGUUAAAUUAAAUUAAACAAAUCAAAUAAAUUACCUUCUUCACGAUGUUCCGAACCGGUUCAACAAUGCUUCGUGCUUCAACUGAUCCACAUGUAACACUAGGCAAUAAAGGAGUAAAUGAGAAAUAAUUUUGAGGCGAAACAACCUGAACGUCAUAUUUUGAAGCAUCCAGAUCCUUGAGAAAACUGGUGCCGGCCCAUCCUGUUCCAAGCACCAGAACUCUCUUUUUUGGUGAUUCCUCAACAGAACCGCCAACGUCUGAUUGUGAAUCUGCAUAUGCCAAUAGACCUCCGCCACUGAAACCAAAACAAAAACCAUUUCAGAGACAAAUAAUUGAACAAAUACAAAACUAAAGAUUUGAUUAGUCCCCUGAAGAUUCUUCCAUUUAGCACAACAAACUACUAAAAGAAAAUAGAACCGAAGCAAACGAAAUGACCGUUCAUUUUUACUUGUAAUCAGUCAUCACAUUCACUUACUAUAUACAUUUUGAGAAGUAAAAGAUAAGGAAACAAAUAUACAAACCAGUCAUGGAUGAAGAAACUAAAAGCUAAAACAUGAAAUCAGAACUUAAAGUAUCAAGAUCUACGUCAUGGUUUCAUUGAACAUCCACUCCGUCACUCCGUCACUCCGUCGUUUUACAAACUUAAACAAUCUACUCCCAAACAAAUAGUCGAAUUCCAACAGAAUCUUGAAUCUCAAAACAAAGAAAAUUUAGAGUUGUUGAAAGUCAAAGCAACAAAUCUCAAAUCAUGUCCAAACAAUGUGGUUGAAAGACAUUGCUCCUCGAGUAUUUAUCGGAGAUACUGUUUAAGAGAGAAGAAAGGGAAAAUUGAAGGCGAGGAGAAGCAGAAACCUGAGGGUGCUGAUAAGUAGAAGCUUUGAAUAUGCAGGGGAGCCAUGAAAAGCUCUGGAAGCUCUAGAGAAGAAGGAGAAAAUUGUCAUAUCAACGGAAGAACACGAUGAGUAGAGUACUAGGAAGAGAACAACGAACGUGUAUGAUUGAUGAUUCUGCAGAAGAAGGAAGCUAUUUGACAAGAUCAAACAGAAUGGGCGUAGACAGGCCAAGAUAUUUUGCACGCAACGUAUAAUAUAAAACCGUUUCCCGUGUCAUUUGUCCUCCUAAGAGGUGAAUGUUGGGUGGGUUGUCAUAGGGUCAAUUGGAUCUCAUGUAUUAAAAUUAACUUAAAUACUCAAAUUCUUUUACACGGUACUAUAUUUAAACCAUUUUGGUUUAAAUUAUCAACUAGGAGACAAUAGUAAAUACCAUAUACAAAUAACUUUGUAAAUAAAUAUAAGUCAUAAUAAUUGGGAAGGUGAAGCCAAAAUAAUGGAAGGCUUAAUGAGUAUGUGGCAAGUUGGAGUCAACUGUUCCAUAAUGCCUUUAAAAUAAUGUGAGUCCAAAGCAGUAGAAAGAUAUUUAUAGAGAUUAGUAGCAAAUUGUAGGUGUGAACGGACCAAUUAUAAACACGGUACUCUAUUGAAAUUUUUUUUGAUUAUGCAUAUCUCAUUCAAUAGAAAAUGUGAUAUAUAUUUUAUUUCAUGAGUUAUAAAUGAGGUUUGUUGAAUUUUUCCUAUCACAUGUGAGGAAAAUGAUGCCCUAUAUGCAUUUGUUCCUUUUGAUACAAAGUUAAUAACAUUCAUUUGAACAAUUUGUAGCACACGAGAUAAAUAUUCUGAAACCAAAAUGAAUGUGCAAUAAGUAGUAAUAUUAAAACCUAUAACUAUUUGACACAUUAUACCUGUGUAUCAAUUUAUUAAAAUAUUCUACACAAUUUUUUAAAAAUCGACAACAAUAAUAAAGUAUGAAAAAAAAUUCAUACCUAUGUACUAAACAAUUUUGAGGUCCACAUGUAAUAUAUCCAUUGCUUCUAUAUUUGUUUAAUUAAUUGGAUGAGAACUUUGGCUUUGAGCACCAAAACUUAUGGAUCUACACUUACCAAAAUUUGACACGUGUAUAAUUCUUAUUAUUUAUCUUUUUUCUUUUAAAGGUACUUUCUUAACUUGAAUUUACAAUAUUAUUUAGAUUUUGUUGGUAGAGAUUAUUGUAAUUCACGUUCUAGAAAGAAAUUUAUUCUAACUGCUUAAAAUAUUUUAAAAUUAGGUACAAUAUUACUUCGAUAAAUUAUAAUAGACUGUUGUGAUAAAUAUAGAUAGUGGUUUAUCAUGAACAAACUAUAAUAAUUUACUAUAUUUAUAAAUAUUUUGGUUUAUUUCUUUAUAUUUUAAAAAUUGUAUAUAAUUUUUUUAUUGAAACAAAACAAAUUCUAAAAACUAACAAUUUUAUAUUUUCGCUAUAUCCAAAAACUUUUUGGUAAUAUUUUUUGUGUUUGUCAUCUUGACUCAAAUUUUAUUGAGCCUGAAAGUAGGCAUAUUUUGAAUCCACCUCUUGGUAUGUAUAAAGACUUUUUGUUUUCCUUCACCUACCAGGUCAAGCGUUUGGAGCCAUCAUCGUUUGGUCAACAUAUCAGAACUAGCAGCUCAAUCUCCAAUCACAAAUAAGGUCAAGGUAAUUUGACAAGAGAUGAAAAACUACGGCUGAGAUCCGACUAACCAUCAAAAUAUAGAAUGGAUGUUCAAUUGAAGAUUAGUGAAGUGAAAUGAAAUAUUUCUUAAACCUUAUGAAUUCAGUUGUUGUGCGAGAUAAAAUAUUAAAAUGUAUAAUUAUAUUAAAAGUAUAUAGUAUUCCAAAAACUCAAUUAAUAACAUGAUAUUAGGACAUAAUAUUGUGUAAAAUAAAUAACAAUUUAUUAAAUUAAUAACUAAUAGUUUAUAUGAAAUUUUCAUCCAAUAGCACAAAUUAAAAAAUAAAUGUGAUUUAUAGCCUAAGGAAAUAAUAUUUAUAAAAAUAACAAUUGUUUUAUCCAUGCACUAUUACACACAAUUAUUUUAGACCUUUUUUUUUUUAUCAUUUAUGCAACUAACCCUAGUUUAUAUCUCAUCAUUUAUCACAACUAGUGAAUAUAAAUAUAUACCAUCUAUCAAAAAACACAUUGUUUAAGUUUAAUUUAAAUUUUGAUUUUUUUUAAUAUGUUAUGAACCACAUGUAUAAGAACAUGAAAUAAUGUUUCUCUACAGAUCUGGAAAAAAAAUCAUGGAAUAUAGUAUCAAGAAAGUUGAAAUUUUCAGAUCAAAGAAGAGAAAUAAGAUGGCAAUUGAUGUCAAGUCUUAUUAUACUUCAAUCAACCAUAAACUUUUUCUUCUUUAUUCUUAAAUUUUUAAUUUUUUUAAAAAUGGUCAAAAUAAUUAGAUACGUUUUAUAUUGGAUGAGACCUACUUUGAGAUGAUGGAAUUAAUAUUAUAGAUCAAUAUGUUAAUGGACACAAACCCUAUCAUAUUUGAACAAAGUAAUUAGGAUAAAAUGUAUGAUAAAGUAGUGUGGAAGUGAGUUUAAUUUUAUUAGUAUAAAAUAUGUGCUAAUCAAAUGUCUUAUCAUAUGUGUGAAGAAACAUACAGAAUAAAGAAUUGAAUUCCAGGUGUAAAGUAAGGUUGUAAUUAACAUGGUUGUCUUAUUCUUAUUCGUAAUUCAACAAAAAUAUUCCAAACUAUAACCAACAUGAUUUUGUUUUUUUCUUUUUGGAUUUACCUCUGCUUUAUUGUAGGAAAUUUUACUAAGUUGCUUUAUAAGUGGUUUGAGCAUUUUGAUUACUUCAUAAUUACAAAAAUAUUUAUCUUAAACCUGUUUGAUUACAAAUAAGGUGUCCAGAUGUGAAAUAUAUUUAGACUCCCUUCCUUUGUUACUUAAAUAUUGAAUAUUUAAUUUGAUAGACCGAUUUUAAAAUUCGUACAAAAAAUAACGUUUAGUUAUCAUUUUAUUUAUUUUUUUAACUUAUUUCAAGAUGACAAACGACUUUUGUAGACAUGAAAAGAAUAAAGAUUGAUAUAAUUUCGUAUUAAGUUCCCGUCAUAAUAAGUAUGACAUUAAAAAUCUAACUAGUUAUUAAUUGUAAUUAUGUAAUGUUUAGAUUCUAUCAUCAACUGAGUCGUUGUAGUAUAGUGGUAAGUAUUCCCGCCUGUCACGCGGGUGACCCGGGUUCGAUCCCCGGCAACGGCGUUUUUUUUUAUCCUUUUAUGUUUUAGAAUUACAUGGAAUUGGCUUUAAUUUUGUACUACGAGAGGUUUCGGUGGGUCAACCUUCAUUAUUAUAGCAUUCAUUUGCUCUGGGCCUAUGAGAUUGAGGAGAUCUUCUAAACAACAUCACAAUCCAUUUGGUACAAUCCACAGUUUUUUUAAAAGACUAAAAUCAUUCAACUUAGAUCUGUUUCAUUGUUGGUAAUUGAUGAUUCCUUAAUACUGAAUAACAUAGUUUUUUAAAAGAAUACUUUUUUUUAUCGCCCAAGCUUGCAUGAAAGUAACAACAUAAAAAUCUCUUCAAAGUUAAGUGUAUGUAAUAACUAAAUUGUUAAUAAGAGUGAUUCCUUAACCUAAUAAUAACUCAUGACUUGUAUGUGAGUGAAAAGCAAAUUGAUUAUUAUUCUAAAUAAUUGUAUAAUUUAUUUUACUUACAAAAAUAUUAACUGAUAUAUUGAUAACGGUAAAAUUAAAAUUUGGAAAAAGCAAAAUUGGGUCAUUUUUAAUAGCCUCAUAAUUCUAUGGAUGCAAUGAUAUACAAUUGAGAUGUAAAACUGUGAGCUUUUCUUAUACCUAUUUUGUCAUGUACACUGUUUUUUCAAAAUUUCUUCGGACAACAGUGAAUGAAGAAGCUGUUGCAACCGGCCAGCCCCGAGGCCUGGCGUGAACACAGAAUCGUUUCCACGUACCGAGCACGGGUCAGCACCGCCUUCCGAGCUCCCGAUACACCAUCCCCCUGGAGAAAAUCUGCUCGUUCUGCCAAGCAGUUCUUUAUCUAUCUUGUCCAAGACGGAAUCAUCCUUGGCAAACUUUCGAGCAAAUGGGGCAUUGCUAUUCACCAUUUUAUCAAAGUCCUUCAUUGUCAAAGAGAGUGGAUGUUGCUUUGGAGGAUUGUCCCAAGCAAUGUAAUGGAGGUCAUGGCUUACUGCAGUGUGUCUAAAUUCGUCGUUAUUGCAGAUUACAGUGUGAAAAUAGCCCUCGGGCGAUGAGAGAAAAUUUGUGUAGUACAUGAGGAUGGUUCGUGGGAGAUUAUCCCAUCCCAAUAUACAAUACUCAACGAAUGAUCGUGUCAGCAUUACCCAUGCCGAACCUACAAAUAUAACAUAGGAAACUGAGUUCUAAGAACUAAAAGUUCAGAUAUUUGAAAGGACUCUAAACAAAGCUAGUCAACCCAAAAUACUUGUCCAUCAAAAGCUCUUUCCCAUUAGCAUUUGUAAGGAACUUGUCCAUCAAACAAGUUCCUUACAAUAUGUUCCUUACAAACAAGUUCCUUACAAUAGCUAAGCAAACAAGUUCCUUACAAAUGCUAAUGGGGUUACGCAUGGGAAUUUCUCGAAAUUUACAGUCAAAAGAUUCUAGGGAUGUCAAUUAAUAAUCUAUUUAGUAUCAAAUUUUGUUUGAUCGUAUAACAUGGCUAGUUUGUUCAACUUAGUCUACAACUGAACCAAAAAAAUAACCUUCUAAAUAUGGAAAAAAUUAACCUUGUUGCUCAGUUACUAUACAUCGGAGAACAAUUGCACCUACGUGCAGAUUAGUACAUGAAAGAAAUGAUAUGCAUACUAACCUGUAAACAACUUGAAGGAUGUUGGAAGUGAGCGUCUUUGAGUUGUCCAAGCAAGUUCCGACUUUUUGGAUAAGUAAAGACCUGGAUCGAUGAUGAUUGGUUUCGCUCGGUGACUCCUGAAAUGAUAUAUAGAUGUUGGUUAUCAUAACAUGGCAUGCUUAUAAUUACUAGAUCAGAAAAAAAAAAAAAAACUUCAAGGCGUUAACUACUACAUACAAUUUCCACCCCGCAAUCUGCGAAUGCUCAAUAAAAUUGAAAUUUCUAGUCAAGUUGGAAAACACAUGAAGCAAAUCUGCACGUUUGAAGAGAAUUUGAUCACAUGGAAAUAUAUUCAUCAAUAGGAAAUGGAAAAGAUGAACUGAUCAUAGAAGUAUAGAACAAGUGCACUAACCAUCUUGUGUCAUCAAUGGAUAAUCUGAAGCACUUAAAUUUAUAAACCAGUCCCAAUCCAGACUCUCCUUCAACAAAAUCGAUAUUGCUUGAAGCGUGCAAGCAAUCAUUGUAGGACCUUUAUAUGUAACCAAAUUUGAUUGAGCCAUUACACGCACAUUCUCUACCUCAUUGAAUGUUGAAUCAGCCUUCACUAGAUUCGUCAGCUCCAAUCUUUCUCGAGGUGGAGCCUCCAGAUCCAUGUGCAGAACAUAUUGAUUUCUUGGGUGAUAUACAGCCUGCAAAGUCCUCAUCAUUCUCCGACUGUCGCCUUUUGUACCCGAAAUUAGAUAGGCUAAUCUUGGAGGUUCCAUUUUCACAACACCAUUUGUUUCUUUCAAUGAACUUCUUAAUUCAGGCUCAAUGAAAAAACCACUCGAAUCCUCCUCUUUUACAAACGAAACAGCAUCCAAUGGCAAUGGCUCAUCACUUUGUGAAGGAAUAAACAACCCUAAAGUAGCUGUUAGAAGCAGGGUAACUGAAAUGAGCAGACUUGCAAAGAACGGAACAAUCCAUUUUCUAUCGCUGAACAUCCUUCCUGAAUGAGAAUUCAUGUUCUUCCUCAUCCAUGACGGAUUUAAAAAGCCACCCACAUUCGCUUUACGCCCUAUCAUUCCGAAAAAUGCACUUAACCUCAGAUUGAUAACUCGCACAAAGCUACUAUUUCUGUCACUCACUCCUCUGCCAAAAUCUCCAAUGCUGUUAUUAAAGCGACCAACAACAAAUUGGCCAGAAUCCCAACUGGCCUCGUGUAAAAAGAAGAAGAAAGAAUGGAAAUCAUUCGAAGUAUAUUCUAAUAUUGCUCAGAAACAAUCAAAACAAGCUCAAAAGAGAAACCCAUUUCAUGUAAUCAACGAUCUAGCCACAAACCAACGGGAGAAAUUUAAGAGAAGUAACUCAAAUAAACGGCAAGCAAGUAAAUAGAAUUAAGCCGAAACGCCCAAUGAAUCGAAGUAACAGAUAACGGCUAGAUUUCCUCGAACAAAGUCAGAUCUAAAUCGAUUGAAGUAAAGUACAGAGGAAGUAGCAGGGAAACGGUGGGACUGUGAGCUUGACAGAGCUCAUAAGGGAAGGGAAGAAAAAGAAAAGCAAUAGAGGGGGAAAUGAAAAGGAGAGAAAACAGAGAGAAUCCUAACUGGGUAUUUAGAGAAUGAAUCAGAAAGGGGAAAAAGAAGAAGAGAGAGGUGAAAUAAAAUGGGGUUGAAGAAAGUGAAAAGAGAAGAAGUUUGGAAUGGUGAAUGUGCUGAGUUUGAUGGAUGAGAAACAGUGGGUGAUCGGCGAAAGGAAGAAAGGGAAAGGUAGGGCAAGAGAAAAAGAGAGUGAAAAUGGAGAAGAAAGAGGUGACCGUGUACAGAAAGAAAUGGGCGAUUGAGUGGAUUUGGUUUUUGCUUCAAAUGUUGGCAAAACAUGAAAAAUAAAUAAAUAAAGAACACAGUGUUUAAUCAAUUUGUUCAAAGAAAAAAGAAGAGCAAAUUUAAUUUUUAAUUUUUGGUGGCAAUAAAAUAAUCAAUUUUAUUUUUAUUUGUUUUUAUCUUUUCCUUUAACUUCCCCACGCUUCACUUAAGCGCGUUUGGUUCACCCCCAAUAUACCCCAUUAUAAAUUUGUAAUAUUUAGUUUUGGUUUUGAAAAAGUUACUUAAAUGUAAACAAUGAAACUAGUAAAUAAAAGUGAUAUUACCUUAUUAAUUUGUAGAAACUAAACAAUUACCAAAUACGACAUUAAUCUUUUGUGUAUUUAUUUUGGCAACUUAAACAUAUAGGUAGGUGGUUGUGAAUAUUUGGUGAGUACAUACUAAAUGUCAAAAUAAAUACAUUUAAGAGAAAAUAUUGUUUUUUUUAUUUAAAAAAAAAAAACUUCACUAGUCAUUUAAAAGUUAUUUAAACUUGGUUAUUUAGAUCAUAAUUAAUCUAAAUAAUCCAUAAAUUAUGAAUUAUUUAGAUUAAGUAAAGUUUUAAUCUAAUUUCUAAUGGAGAUGAAAUUGAAAAUUGAAAAUCAUAUCAACCAAAAUUGAAGUUAAGCCAAAACUAUAGCAACCAAAUUCAAAUUAAACUUAAACCAAUUAAUUAAAAACUUUGCGUAGAUCAUGAAACGUAAUUUGUAAUCUAACAUAUUUUUUCAAUAAUCAUAUAUUAUGUGUAUUUAUUGAAGUUAAUGAAUGACAAAAUGGAAAAUAUAGUAGAAAGUAUUUAAUUACGAAAGCAAAUUGACACCUACAAAAAAAGAAAAUGACGUAUGAUUUUUUCAAACUUGAAUUGUCCUAUAAUACCAAAUGUUGGAGUUGGUGUUCUUAAACAAUAAAUAAAAAAUUUCAUUUAGGGAAAUUGGUAAAUUUAAAGCUCUUUAUUUGAUUGGUAUACCAAAACCAAAAGUAUAUUUUUAAGACACCGAAAGAAAGAAAGAAAAAAUGAACACAAACAUUAAUUGAAGGUUUUUUCUUUCUUUCUCUCUCUCUCUCUUUUUUUUUGUUUGAAUUGAUUAAAUAUAUAGAGAGAGAGGGUUGGGGGUGUCGGUUGCUCUUGAGCCCCUAAAGUGUUUUGACUUUAUAUUAACUACUCCAAAUUAUUCACUUUACAAUCAAAACCACAUACCAUACCCCAUUUUUCUUUAUUCUAUCUAUACACACACACAACAAACAAUGGCCAUUAUACCCAUUAUUGAAAGCCCACUGACACCAUUAGCAUUUUUUAAAAUACAAUGUAGACGAUGGAUGUGAAAGACUAGACAGCAAACAUCAAAAUUCUUUCAACACCACUCCAAUGGGAAAGAUCUAUCAUUAAUAGCGCAUACCAAGGGUGUCCACACUCCACCACCAUUUUUAAGUUCCUGUAGAAGAGCAAAGCAAGACCCUCUCCCUCCAAAGCAUCAAUCUCCCUCCGAAGCCAUUCAGCAGCCGCACCAAUAAGAGUUCCAUACACCAUUCAUCACCCACUUCCAACAAGUGAGUCAAAUGAUUUGAAUUCAACUCAAAUGUCAAUAACCGACAAAUAAAAUUUUGAAAUAUUAUUGCAUGGUCUAUUAGUGAUAGACUCAUAUUCUUGAUAAACUGUCGAUCACUUAUAAACUUUAACAGAUUUUGUUAUAUUUAUAAUUUUUUAAAAAAUAUUGUUAUAUAUUUAAUUAUUUUGAAUCUAAUGGUUAUAUUUGUAAUAAAAUAUAUUCAAUUAGGUCAUGGGUUUAUGGUAGGUUUUGAAAAAAAAUAUUAAUAUUAUUUCAACUAAAAUAAUUACAAACUAACUAGCUCUAAGGUAUAUUUAAUAGUUAGAAAGGAAAAUUGUCAAAAAUAAAAUAUUUACAUCCAUACAAAAAUUAAAUGUUUAAUUUUGUCUUUUAAUAGUUUUAUUCCGUAAAUAGUUUGUUAAUUUUUUAUAUUUUUUAAAAACUCUACCAAAAUUGUAAAAAUACUGUGACUAAAAUGUGUUAAAUAUAACACAUAUUAAAGUAGAAUAAUGAAAAGUAGUAUUUUAAAGUAAGAUAUGCUAUACAAGAAAUCUAUCCUACAUAACUCAGUAUUGAAUCCUUGUGAGCUCUUAAACUUGCCUUUCAAUUUUCUUUGGUGCAUCUUUCUUUUUCUAUUAAUUUUUAGUUCUUAAAAAAGCCCAUUUUUCAUGUUUUUAAGUGUACCAAAUGAAUCAAACUUUUGAUUUGUGUAUAAACUUUUUACGACACUAAUUAUGAAAUUAUGUUUCGAAUCAAACCUCUACAUAUAAUGAGUGAAAUUUGUCCGUGUAAUAAUUCUUAUACGUGUCUAGACUUAUUCAAAUGUGGGACGAAUGAAAUCGACAAUUAAAAUUGAUACAAUAAACGAUGUUCAAAGCUAAUUAAUCUUAAUUUGAUGUUUAAAUUGAUUCAAUCGUGAAAAUUAACAAAUUCGAAGAACUAACCAUUUAUACUCUCUCACACAUCCCAUUUGUUUUAGCAUCAUACUAGACUUAUAUUUUUCAUCCAUUAAACCCACAAACUCUAAAUUUAUUAAUAUAGAAUUUUAGUUGAUACAAGAAAAAAGUAGUACAAAUCGGUAGUUUCCCAAUUGGGCUAGCUCGAUUCCCACCCCGAAAGGGCAAAGCCCAACAGAAAAAGUAGUUGGGCCGAAGCCCAUUUUCAUUAUUCUGAAAUUUAGAAAGAGAAUCAUUAGCCGUGGCCACUGAGAUUGAUACUUUACGUUGGUGCAUAAGGUAAGCUUGUAAUAACAACAUAGAUUUCUAAAGAUAAUAUAAAGUCCUUUAAAUUUGAAUGUUUGAAAUACAUUUACAAAUAUUUAAUUUAAAAUAUAAGCCAUUUUGAAAAAAAAAAUCAAAAUAUGUAGUCUUAGAAAUGUAUUUAAAACCAUUUAUCUCAAAAUAGUUUAAAUAAAAAAAUGAUUAAAAAAUAUUUUUUUAAGUCAAUUAAAGUUGGGUCGAAAGAAUUGUGAGACUAAACUAUUGGGAGUUAGGUGCCGUCCAAAUCAGUUGUUAGGAAGAAGACAGUGAGAAAUAAAAACAACAAUUUUAAAUUUGCAAUCAACUUGUUACAUAUUCACAUUAAGUUUUUUCUAAUAGUACCCACCAUUAAUUAUUCGAAAUCCAAUCUCAUUUUCAACUUUGUAGGUUCAACAUUUUUUUUCUUAUAAGAAUAAUUAUAUUUUGAAAUUUUAAAUACACCAAAAGAAGAGAUGAACCAUAAGGUUUUCUUUUUAAAAAAUUAUGUAAGGGCUAUAUUACAAAAUAUAGAUAAUAGAUAUUAGUAUGUAUAGUUUAAAUGAGAGUUUACCUUAUUUGAUAAACAGUAAUUGAGAUAUAAUUCUUAAAAAGAAAAAAAAAAACUUCAAAAUUCCCACUUUUGUGUUGUAAUUAAAGAAAAUAAUUGUUAAGUGAUGUAAUAAUAAAGGACGGUGACUUAAGAUGACAUUAGAGCAUGUGAUCUAACAAAGUUGUGUUUAAGCCUCUUUUAUAUAUCAAACCUAUAAAUGAUGGAAGUGGUGAGUGAUAGAAAAUUUAAUUAUUUAACUUCAUCGACCAACUUAAACUUUUAAGUCACUUUGUGAAUUACGAGUAACGAUAAAAUAAAAAAGUUAAGGCCAUGUUUGGUAAUGAUAACUAUUUUUUUUUUUUUAAUUAAGCAUAUUUCUUCUCUAUAUCUUAUCAUAAAUUGUAUAUUUCUUAAUUACAAUAGUUGAAUUAUGAAUCAAAUUUAAUAAAACAAAAAUCCUAAACAAAAUUGGUUAUCAAACUAAACCUAAAUAACUAUCUAAAAUAAUUUAAUCACAUUAUUUUUAAGUCAAACACGUGGGUGAUCCAUGACCUCUUAAUUAGUUAAUAAUAUUUUUACCACUAGAUCAAUCCAUGAUGAUUAUUUAAGAGAGUUAAUGUUGUUUGUGUAUGGUAUUUUAAUUCAUCAAAUUAUUUGUAGCUACUCCAAAUUAUUGUUUUUCUCUGUGCAUGUGUUAUCCUAUGAUUUUAAAAGUUUAGGGCAGCUAUCAAUUUGUGCUUUUAAUCUUUGGAAUUAAAUAUUUAAAACAAUAAUUACACCAAAUUAAACUAUAAUUUUAAUAAAUAUAUUAAUUCAUACCGUCUUUCAAAAUUUUAUACAAAACUUAUAAUAAUUUGGGUCCAGGUUGACUAAAACAUUUUGACAAAUCAAUCAAUUUAGACCUUUCAUUAAAACUAUCUUUAAAAGUUAUAUUCAUGCGUUAGUUUUUAAACUUCUUCAAAGGUUGGUUCUACAAAAUAGAUGAUUUUAGAAUAUUAUUUAAAUCAUUCUCUACAAUUUUUUUUAUAUAAUUAUAAAAGUAAAUAGUUAAUUUUUUUCUUAUUAUAUGUAUUUAUAAUAUAAAUAUAUAUAAAAGAAAAAAGGAAAAAGGAAAAGGAAAAAGGAAAAAGGAAAAGGAAUUGAAAUAGUUAGUGAAGAGGACACAUCUUUGAAUUGCCUUUUCAAGGUGUGCUUUUGAUCAUGUAUGCUUUUACAAAUAUAAUUUGGUGCAUAUAGUGGGGAAGAGAAAAGUCAUAGCAAAUCCCAAUUGGGCAAUUCCAAAAUAUAAAGCAAAAAAGGGAAUCACAUCCCAUCUCCCACGAAAUUAUUUAAAUCAUAUGGACAAAAUAAUAAUGCAAAUUCAAUGGCAUCAACCACCAAAAGUGCACUCUCCCUUAUUGCCUUUCAUUGCAUUUAUAUAUCUAUAAUUUAAUUAAUUAUAUAUUCACAAAAUAAUAAUAAAUAAAAUAUAUCCAACUUCAAUUAUACUUUAAACUCUCUACCUCUUCCAUUAAACUUCUUCUUUUUAUUUUAUUAAUACAACUUUCAUAUAUUUAAACUUCAUUUAGACUCAACCUAAUCAUUGGUUGCAACUUAAGUUAUAUCCAAUCUCAUACUUCUCUUUUUAACACAUAAAAUAAAUUUUAAAAAUAAUUUUUUUAAACAUACUAAAACAUCUUUGACUUGACAACUUUCUGGGUCACAUAUACAGGUGCAACCUAAAAUACACUUACAUUUGAAUAGCAAUUGUCCGUAUAAUAAUUAAAAUAUUUAAGUUUCUUUUUUAUAUUUAGAAAUUUAUUUUUUAAUUUUAAAAUCAUUUAAAGUACCUGAAUAAUUUUUUCAAACUUUAAUUAAAUAGUCUACAUAUAUAUUAAAAACAAUUAAAGAGAAUAAUCCAACUAAGGAGGAUUACUUGGUCAUCUCCAAUUUAAUUUAAUGCUUUAUAAAGGAAGCUUUAAAUGUCUAUAGAAAACCACCAGCUUUGAUCACACUAUAUUACCUAUAAAUGUUAUACAUGCAUCUAUAAUAAUUUAAAUUAUAAAUACAACUCUCAUCUUAUAUAAUUAAUUUUUUCAAUCAUGCCCAUUCCAUAAUUUUAAUUGAAUUAUAAACUACAAUAAAGUAUAGGUUAAGUUGUUAGAACUUUCAUCUUUUGUGUUAAUAAACACUUAAUUUUUCUCUUAUUUUGUAUUUAUACAUAUCUCAAAAUUUUAAAAAUUAACUUUAUGGUGGAAUAAGUUAAAGAAUUAUGAUAUAAAAAAAGACGUGACGUUUUUUUUUCUGAAAAUGAUUUAGAAUAAAAAUGUGAGUGAAUGAUUUUAAAUGUAAAAAUAUAUCUCAACUAAAGCAAAGCAAAGCAAAGCAAAGGAGAGUAAAUAUAUAUAAACCAUAAUACAAAGUUGAAAUGUAAAAAUUUUAGUAUAUAUGAAGUAAAGAAAAUACAUUUAUAACAGAAAAAGAAAAUGAUAUUUUGAAAGCAUACGAAAAAGUGAGUGACAAUUCAAAAAAAAAAAAAAAAUGCGAAGGCUUGGCAAGGCAAAGCAAAGGCAUGAACGGCCCCCGAUUCUUCUUCAGUGUGUGUCUCUCUCUUCUCUUCUCUUCUCUUCUCUCUAAUGUCAUAUCAUAUCAUGCAAGAAGGGCAUAACAAUAACCCCCUCUCGCACACGUCAUUGCCUUCCCUUAUACCCAGGUCUCAUUUCUUCAUUCAAAUUCAUCCAUCCCUCCAACCCUUUAAUUUUCCUCUCUUUCUCUAUCCAUGCCUUCCUCAAGAUCUAUCUCCACCCUUUCAAUAUGACCGCCUAUCCAGAUUCUUUCUAUUUUCCAUAAAAAAAACCCCACCAACCCCAUAUCUCUUUUUACCUGAAUUUUUCUGGGUUCUCUACCCUUUUCUUCGAUUUCUCCCCCAUUUCGUUUCUGGGUUCAAUCUGGAUUUCUGAUUUACAGAGUUAAUCGGACAUUCGACUGGGAGAUGGCUAGUGGGGUGGAUGAAAAUGGGUUCGUCUUGUUUUCUAGCGAAGAGUUGAGUGAGAUGAGUGGGGUUAAGUUCGGUGGAGAUUUUGUGGAAGUCACUUGUGGCUGUACUAGUCAUCGAUAUGGCGAUUCUGUUGGGAGGUUGAGGAUUUUUGUUAAUGGUGAACUUGAAAUCACCUGUGAAUGCACUCCCGGUUGUCAUGAAGGUUUUUUUUUAAUCCCUUCUCUCUCUUCUCUUAUAUUCAGUCUCUUUACUAACAUAUCUUGAAUGUAUGAUAUAUAGCUGAGUUCUUUACUUGGGGAUACUUGUGAUGAGAUUCGAAAUACAGUUCUUCGUUUCUUCUCAGUUCUGUUUUCAUUUUUAUGCAUGCUUUGGUGGGUUUGUCCUUGUAUUUGUCUUUUCAUGGAUUUGAAAAAUGAAGUUUGACGUUAAUGGGUGUCACUUUCUGUCCCUGCAUUCAUUGGGGUUAUGGAUAGGGUUAGGGUCUUACUCAAGAGGAUAAGAGAACUAGUACUACAGAUGGAGAUGGAGAGUUUAGUCUUUCAAGUGGGUUCUUUAUUUUCAUGGCAUGCAGUUGAAGUGUUUGUUGUUUUGUCUGAGUGAAUCAACAAUAUUUGAUAAUGGUAAGCAAAAACACGUAUGGUUUUUUUUUAUUUUUACCAAAAUUUCAAUUAUUGAUGUGGUAAUUGAUGACAAUCUUCUGAUUAAAACGGGUGUGAAUUUCUUUUGAAGUGUCUUAAUAAGUGUUUUUAAGCACAUCCAAAGUCAUUUCUAACUGAUUGUUUUGUCUAUGACCAAAAUGUUUUAGCUUCAAAAGUGGGAAUCUUAGCUUGAAAUCCAAUAUGAAAUAAUGGAAAUGCUAUCUGGUUUGUGGUUUUCUGCUCUAUAGUUGCUUACUUGGAUUAGGUUUUGACGCUAAGGUUCUGUUUUUUACUUCUUUUUGGGCAGACUAAUCAUAGUAUCACACCUUAAUACCAGUAGCUCUUUUGGUUAUUCAUGGCUGCUUAUAUUUUAUGAAGCAUUUGGUGAUAUUUAUUUUUUCAUCUUGUCUUGACACAAUAUAAUGCUUGCCACCUAAGGAAAUGAGAGCUUUGUUCUUGCUAAUGAUUGUGUAUGUGGUGGAUCGUUGAGGACCUGAACUGGCUAUAACACUUGAGGAAUGUCUUUAAAUAGCUCAUUAUGUUAACAUCCCAUCCAAAUGAAUAGGGCACAAAGCAUAAGCAAGUAAAAUACCACAUGAUGAUUUCCCAGGUCGAUUUGUUAUAUUUUUUUUAUUGUUUUAGUUGUUAAUCUUCAUAUGAUGUAUGAAUCAACUGAGCUAAAGUUGGUUUCACUUAGUGCUCCAGUAUUUAUGCCUCUUUCACGUGAAAAAUCUUUUAGUUUAAAAUUACCUCCCGUGGAUUUAUGAUUUUAUCAGAAUCAAUCAGAUUGGUUCUAUAUGAGGGCAAACGUGCAUGUUUUAAUAAUAUGAUUACUCUGCUUUAUCUGAAUGUGAAAAGUAUAUUAUGCAUGCCGAUGAUGUAAUAUUUAUGAGACAGAUCUUAUUUCACGUGGAAAUUCCUUAUUCCUAAUUUGCAUUAUAACUUUACCAACUAGACAAGUUGACUCCUGCUGCAUUUGAAAAGCACUCCGGAAGAGAAACAGCAAGAAAAUGGAAGAACAAUGUUUGGGUCAUAGUUGAUGGAGAUAAGGUUCCAUUGUACAAGACUGUUCUCCUCAAGUACUACAAUCAGGCGCUAAAAAACAGCAAUGGAUCCAGUAGAUCCCAAAACGGGCGAGCAUGUCACCGUGAUGAGUUUGUUCGAUGUAGUAGUUGCAACAAGGAACGCAGAUUUCGACUUAGGACAAAAGAGGAAUGCCGAAUUCACCAUGAUGCUUUGGCAGAUAGUGAUUGGACUUGUGCUGAUCUACCAUAUGACAAGUACAUAUUUACUUUGAGAUUGCAUUACCCUUGUGAUCCUGAAAGUCCAAUAAAACUUCGUAUUACUUCUUGUUUUGCAGAAUAACAUGUGACACUGAUGAAGAACGAGCGAGCCGGAGGGUUUAUAGGGGAUGCAUCCGUUCACCAACAUGCAAGGGUUGCACUUCCUGUGUCUGCUUUGGCUGUGAUAUCUGUCGAUUUUCAGAUUGCAGCUGCCAGACCUGCAUUGACUUCACAAGGAACGCAAAAGCUUGAUUGAAUCUGCAGAACAAUUCUUCUGCCCUGAUUAUUCCCAUUUCAUUUCUUUGUAUGAUGCUCUUCUCAUACAACAUUUUAAGGACAACCAAGAAGAGAAAUUUCAGAUUAAACUCAGCCUUAUUUAAUGUCUUUACUGACCGUUAUAGCACUUUAAGAUUCAGUACUUUAUAUGCCUUCUCUAGUAAAGAAUAGAAUAUGCAACAAAGACAAUGAUGGAGAUGAGUUUGCGUGGUAUUAACAACGUAUUGCCGUGUAAUUUACAUCACAUCUGUUUCAUAUUGGUGUGUGAUAUCAAUAAUGUGAUCAUUAACAACAUUUAAAACAUCGAAACAAGUUGAAGACAGUGCAAUGUGCAGAGAGCUUUCAAGUUGUGAAAGAUCAAGAGAUAGAAAUGAUGUUUACAAAAUCAGACAUAGAAUAGAGGUGGGAAUAUUGAAUGCAGUGGUUGGCGCAAUUGGCAUUGACAAUCAAAUGGAGGUAUUGGAAAGGAUGAUGAAAGGUAGAGCAGAAAAACAUGUUUCUUCUUCUAUGUAAAAGUAUCAAUUCAUCAUAAAUGAAGGCAGCUGGAAUCUGCUGCCUGCUUAGAAACGAUAGCUGUGUAGUUGGUAUCUUGGGAAUAGGAAUAUCCUCUUAUGUGGACAAAAGCCUCGACUUUAUGUCACUUUUGAUUCCUCCUUUUAUAAUUAUGUUGGUGAGGUAAGAGUUUGUGACAUUCCAUGAAGUGAUUGAUAGAAGCUUCAAUAAUCUGCUAAGAAAGACAAACAAAUUAAUACCCACAUUCAUUUUGUUUAUACUAUAUAGUUUUAAUGAAAUGAAAAGAUAAAAGAAUCAAACUGAAAGAUGCCUCACACCUUUAGAAAGCUGUCCUUUUUGCCUCUCAAGUUUGUUGCCUGUGGCACAAGCGACUCACACGUGAGAAUGUUAGUUUAAUAAGGUUGGAGCCUAGGCAAAUCGAAUUAAUAAGGUCAAGUGAUUUUUUACAAAAAAAUCAGAAAAGAAAAGAACAUAACAUUAAUUUGUUAUUCCUGUUUACUGUUGGCAGCUGAAAUUCAACUUUGGUAAAUAAUGGAAUUGAGGGAAUUUGGUCAGUGAAAACUAAAAGUGAAGUUUUUGAGAAAACAUUCACUAAUCAAACCCACUAAAUUUACACAAAUAAAUGUAAGAAGCUGAAAUCCUUUUUGUAAUUUCACAUUGAUUUCUAGUCACACCCCUUACCAUUAUUACAUUUCAUUUUUGUAUCCGACAGACCUUUGGACAUAUAUUGAAUCAUCAAUUUUUCUCUCUUCCACUUUCAGCUCACAACAUUUAUUGAGAUUAUUCUCCUUCAUUUAAACUCUGAUCCUUAAGCAUAAAUGAAUCUUAUUACAUAGUAACAAUCCUUGUUUUCGAAGAAAAUAAUUCAAUUUCACAAAUUGAGAAUAAUUUCUUCCUGUUCUCAGUGGGGGAGAAAAACAAAAGGAAUAUGAACAUCAUUAAAAUUAUAAUCAAGAAACCGUGUUACAAGAAACGUGAAAAGAUUGGGAGAAGUCCAGACCAAUACAAUAUGGGAUUAGGAAUUUAAUUACCUAAGUCAAGAAAAAUUAGACAAGUUCUAAGUAAAUAAAGAAGAAGAAGAAAAAGAAGAAGAAGAGGAAAGGUUAGCGAUAGGAUCUGAUAAUAGCUCCACAGAAAGUGCAAAUAAUGGCUCUCCAAGACCUCCAAUAAAAUGGGACGAAACAAAAUCUAGUGGCGGUCUUCAUGUCGGCGACGCUGGCUCCGCCGCCACACCGGGAACAAAAUCCGGCAGCCGGUUUGCUCCGCCGUACCUGACGAGUCUGAUCCACGAGAAAGCAAAAGCAAACCAUUUCUGUUUUUUUUCUUCUUGUAGUUGUAAUUGAAGAGUGAUAGCAGAGAGAAGUAUUGAAGUGCAUGAAAGGUGAUAAAAGGUGGAUCCUUUAUAUAAAGAUUUCUUAACCUUACACCCACUUGCAAAUGGUCAACAAAAUUGGUUGUGAGGGACAAAUAAAAAGUGUAAAAUUACAACUUUGGUCAUUUAUAAUUAAAUUUUAGGAGAAUAUGUCAAUUUAUGGUUGUAUAAACUGUGAGCUGUUCAUAAUUAUGUCAAUUAAGCUUAUAAAUUUUUACAAGUAAACUGGUUGAAAUAUAACUCUCAUUGUCCAUAAUACACACAUGACAAUGGAUGUAUGGAUGAUUUCAAAUGUAAAGUUUAAAUUGAUUCAAAUUUAAAAGUUUUAAUGACUCACGUUUUCACGUCAAAAUUGUAAAAGAAUAAAUUUUAAAUUAGUAUAAUUGUUAAUUUUUAUACAAUUCUCAAACAUAUUUCAUCAAUUUGAUAUAAUAUGAAAGUAUAUCUCGUGUUCAAAAGAUUAUAAAAUCAUUAAGUUUUUUAAAUAUAUCUAUUAAAUGGAUGAAUUUAUCUCGUUAGACGUUUUCAUUUUCAACCCAUUAUUAAUUUAUAUAUUUUAGAGUUUUUCUCUCGAAUUCGUUAACCCUAAAUCAACAUUAUAUUGUUAAACUAUCGAGUUUUAUCCAAUUAGAAAAACCAUUGAGUUCCUUUUUUCACAUAUAUUUUGUAGUUAGCAAGGACAAAUUUUUUUAGCAUAGAAAUGAGGUUGAAAUGAUGAAAAUAAAGUUGAUAAUUUAAGGAGAAAGAAAGAAGAAAAAAAAAAGUGUGAAAGUACGAAAGAGUACAUAUGGAAGAGUUAGUUAAGUCACACGAAAGAGAGGGAUGGGAAAGGGCAAUUAAUGGGGAGGAAUCCGUGUCAUGUUGGUCAUUACAAAGCAGUUGGAGGGUAAAUGUUGAAACUCAAUCCUCACCCUACAUCUGGAUAACGUUAAAAUCAAACUAUUAAUUAAUUAGUGUAGAUGCAAUGUAUGUUAGUGGCACCUUCUGAUUGGUCGGUUUUCUUUGUUAUGGGCAUUCCUAACAUUUGCAAUUAUACCCCCCGAUCUUUCCAUUAAUCUCCUACCCAUCCUUCAUAAUUACAACCAAUUCAAACACACAUAUAUAUUAUAUAUAGUUUUAUCUUUGUUUUCGAUAUUUCACUCUCGUAUUAAUUUUAUUAGUUGAUUAGAGAGACAUAUAGUAGUAUAGGAGUACUCUUUUUUCUUUUCUCUUUGUUUUGAUUGGGUAUGUAGUAAUUAAUUACUGGCAAGGCAUGCCAUGCACAUCACUCAUGGUUUGCUAUUGCAGGAAAGAUUAAUUUAAGAAGUGAAUGCAUGCAUGUGUGUGUUCUAUCUAAUAUGUGAUUCUUUUGUUUGUGGUUUAAUACUUUCACCACAGGUGUUUACUAUAAUUAACCCUAGACCCAAAGUGAGGGUGUGUGUGAUAUGAGAGAUUCUCUACGCAAAUAUUUGAAGAAAAUAAUCGAGGAAAAAUGGUGGACUGAAAAGUCUAAUUAAUUAUAAACAUAAACAAACAAAGUUUGUGUAAUUAGUUUUUACCGUUUAAAUUUCAAAACUAUUACCCCAAAUUUGAAUACAGAAUAAUUAGAGUGUCUUUCAUAUAUUAAUGAAUCUUUAUAUAAUUAUAACUUUUAGGUGUGGUUGUAAAAGGUAGUUCAAAAGAUGAUAUUACACCAUAUUACUAAUCAAUUAAAGAACAUCAAGAAAUAAUUAACAAAAAUACCAAAAUGUUAAUCAACAUGGUUAGGCAAAUGAAAGGGUAUAAACUAAAAAAGAGGAAAAAGAAAACCCACUUAUCAUAUAUAUAUAUAUAUAUACAUAUGCAAAAUAUUGUGAAAGUCAAACUACAAUAAAUUUAUAGAAAUGGUUUCAAAAGAUGAAUUUUAACACCAUUUCAUUAAUUAAGAUCGAUUGAUUAGCCAUCAAAAUUAAUGAAACUUGAAAGUCAAAAACAGCACAAUAAAUCAUUUUUGUGGAUUUUAAAAGACCCUCACCGACCUUUCAUUUGUACACAUUCAAAUUAAAAUUUGACCGUAUUCACUAAGGUUAUUCAACAUUAGAGUCUAUUUGUACUAAAAAUUCAAUACAUAUUUGGUCCACAAUUUUUAAAUGGGGUGGAAUAAUUUAUACUAAUUAUAAAUCAUUUUUCUUUUAAGAAAAAAAUAUCUUCGGUUCGAAUUGGGUUUCUAGGUUACAUUUGGUUUAUAAGUCUUGAGAUGUUGCCCAUUUUUACCCACAAAUUUUUAAUUUAACAUUGUCUAAAAUAUUACAUACUUGCACAUAAGUUUUGAGUUUAAUUUUUAUUUGGCUUCUAGAUUUGAGAAUAUUACAUUUGUAUCUUGUUUUGUUUUCAUUUAAAUUAAGUUUUAAGAUACAUGCUUUUAACGUAAUCUAAUUAAAAUUAUAGACAUUGCACAUGUUUCGUAGCGUUAAAAAUAAAAAAUACAUAUAUAAGUUCAAAUAAAAGUCUUUGACUUAAUAUUUAAUUUUUAUUUUGAAAAAAUCAAUACUACUUCAUUUAAAUUUGAAUUAAUAUAUACUUUUUAAAGUUUUCGAAUUGUUUUUUGAUUUGUUAAGUUCAAAUCCUUGAUAGCAAUAAAAUAAAUAAUUUGUUUCUAUUAUAUUUAUUUUAUACUAGACAUAAAUGAAUUGCUAUAUAAUUAUUAUAAAUUUGAAAAGGAGAAAACAAAAUACCAAGCAUAGUAAAAAUAAUAAAUUAAUUUAAGUUCACUUAAUAUGUAGGUUUACAGAAACUAAAAAGCAGAAGAAAAGAAAAAAGCUAUAUGACUAGCACAAAAAUCGUAAAAAAUAACAAAUUUUUAAAUUUUAUCAAUAAUAUUUAUUGAACAUUAAUAUAUAUUGAUAAAAUUUUCAGUUUCUAUCAUUGAUAUAAUCCAAAAUUUUGUUAUAAUUUGUAAAUAUUUUAAUUUAUUUUGAUAUUUUUAAAAAUGUCAAAUUUCUUUGAUCACUUUUAUCCUAUUUUAAAAUUAUUUCAACCUCUAAAUUUUUUCUGAACAUUAAAGCAAUGUCUUCUUUUACAACAUCUUGAUAAGAUGUGAGGAAGAAUAGAUGAAUCGUAUAGAAAAAAAAAAAGCUACAAAAGCAUACAAAAGUUAUAAUCUUAAUAGAUCAUCAACCAAGAAGAGAACAUAUCUAUGAUAAAUAAAAAGAAGAGAGAUAUAUCUCUUUAAUUUCUAGACCUCCACUAGACAAUGCCUCUUCCUAAAUAAAACUUAAAAAAAAAAGAAAAAAAUUGUUGAGAACAAUGUUGCUAUUAACAAAAUAAUAAUAAUAAUAAAGUCUACUAAAAAAAAUUAUACCAAACGAGAGAAAAAGAAUAGAAAAAUCGAGUUAAAAAGUUAAAUUAGAAAAAGAAGGAAAAAGAAAGAACCAUGGAAUGAUGAAUGAACUAGAAUAAAAGAUGUUUAAUUUAGCUAUUUAAAUGAAAGUUUAGGAGUUAAAUCAUGAUUAUAUAUAGUUUAUUUUCAUUCGAAACAAAUAUAUUUACAAAUUAUAAAACGAGUAUUGAAUUUUUUUUGUAAGUUCAUCAUUUUUAUAAUUUAAUAUUAUAGAUUAACGAAACAUGUUCAAAUAUAAUAAAAUAAAUCAAAAUAUAUUUAUAAAUUAUAACAAGAUUUUAUAUUUUCUCAAACUAUUAAUUUUUUUAGAUGUCUUUGGAUGUUUGAUAGAAUCUAUUAAUGAAAAAACCAUUUUUUUUUAAAACUUGGACUUACACAAUUCUUUUUCCUUCGUGGUUAUUUAAAGUUUUAUUAGGUUUUAAAAUUUUCAAAAUAUUAUUUUUAAAUAAAAUGAAAAUUUCAUCAAUAAUUUUAUAGAAAACAUGAGAAUAUAAAUACAUAUAUUUAUUGAGACAUUUUUAAAAAUAGCAAAUAAUUAAAAUAAUUAUAAAGUAUAGCAAAAUGUUGGAUAGUCUUCUAUCAUUAUAGCGUAUCGAUCACUAUGAGUGAUAGAAUUUGGUAUAAGUUGUAAAUAUUUUGUAAAAUCUACUAGUUUUAAAAAUUUUCCUAUAUUUAUAAAUAAAUUAAGAUAUAUGAUUUUUCAUAGUAUAUAAAUAGAUAUCUUUAUAGAUUUUAGAGGAUUAGAUUAUAUAACAAAUAGAUUUUUUUUUGUUAUUUUUUAAUGUGAUUUAUGUAUCAUGUUUUAGAGUUAGAUAAUAUGUAGAAUUAGAUAAUAUACAUGUAUAUAUAUAUAUAUAUGUUUAAGAGGUUGUUUUUUUUAAAUAACAAAACAAAUUAAAAUAUUUAGAUAUUAUAGUAAAAUUUUGGAUUCUAUGAAUGAUAGUAUUUGAUUGUUAUAGCAUAGAUAUAAUUUGCUAUAAGUUGUAAAUAUUUUGUAAAAUUUGUUAUUUUGAAAAUAUCACAUGAAUAAUUGAAUCUCUACCGAGGAUGAGAAGAUUGAAAUAAUGAGUUGAUGAGCAAUCCAAUAAAGCAUACAACAUGGAUUGCAGUGAAUCUGCUUAAUCUUUUCACAUGGUAGUCGAGCUUGAAAUGAUUGUGUUCGUUCCUUCCUAUAUUCAUGAUGAACAACUUGUAGGCACUCUUGGUUGAAUGUAGUUUCCAAAAUACUCACCUUCAUAUAUAUUCUCCCAUGCACGUUUUUUUUCUUCUUGGAAGUCGGGUUUGAACAAAGAUUAUUCUGUAGAGUUGGAUGUAGUUUUAUAAAUAAAAGAGUAAGCUACUAAAUAGAAACCUUUUGAAGUCUCUCUAUCUGAUCUACUGUACUAAAAAGAACAAAUGUAGAAAGAAGCUUUGCAUGUUUGGUUUGUUCUUAUAUUUACAAUAUUGAUAUGUACUUAGUGUAAAAUUGUUACCGAUUAUUACUAACUUAUAUGGUUUAUAAUAACCUUAUAUAAUAAGAUUAAAAUGAAAAUGAUUGUAUUCUUAUGUAAAAGAAAAAACGUAAUAAUUAGAAGUGCAAAGUUUUGAGGUGCCAUCGUUUCUACAAAAGUCCGCUCUUUUUUUACUUCCUUGGAAAAACUGAAGACGUUUCUCGUCAAAUGAUGCUCUUCUUGAAACGCCAUUGCAGUAGUAGUUUCACCUCUCAAAAUUUCAAAUAUUCUACUCACCCGUCAAUCAAACUGUCUCAAAUUCUCCAAUUUUGCAAGUCUGGCUUACUCAACGAUGCGCUACACCUCUUAAACUCCAUUGAUUUGUACGAUUCUAGAAUUAACAAACCACUUCUCUACGCUUCUCUCUUACAAACCUGCAUCAAGGUAGAUUCCUUCACCCGUGGCCGUCAAUUUCAUGCCCAUGUUGUUAAAUCUGGCCUUGAGACUGACCGCUUUGUUGGGAAUAGCUUGCUUUCUCUCUACUUUAAAUUGGGUUCAGAUUCUCUGCUGACUCGAAGAGUAUUUGAUGGUCUUUUUGUCAAAGAUGUGGUUUCUUGGGCAUCCAUGAUUACGGGGUAUGUUCGAGAAGGUAAAUCUGGAAUUGCGAUUGAAUUGUUUUGGGAUAUGUUGGAUUCGGGGAUUGAGCCGAAUGGCUUUACUUUAUCUGCUGUGAUCAAAGCGUGCUCCGAGAUUGGGAAUUUGGUACUUGGUAAGUGCUUUCAUGGGGUUGUUGUAAGGCGUGGAUUCGAUUCAAAUCCUGUCAUUUUGAGUUCUUUGAUUGAUAUGUACGGGAGAAACUCUGUGUCAAGUGAUGCACGCCAACUGUUUGAUGAAUUGCUUGAACCAGAUCCAGUAUGUUGGACAACGGUUAUUUCAGCGUUUACAAGGAACGAUUUGUAUGAGGAAGCAUUGGGGUUCUUUUAUUUGAAGCAUAGAGCUCAUAGGUUGUGUCCUGAUAAUUAUACAUUUGGAAGUGUAUUGACUGCCUGUGGUAAUUUGGGGAGGUUGAGGCAAGGUGAAGAGAUCCAUGCUAAGGUGAUUGCUUACGGAUUUAGUGGGAAUGUAGUGACUGAAAGUAGUCUGGUGGAUAUGUAUGGAAAAUGUGGAGCGGUUGAGAAAUCUCAACGCUUAUUCGAUAGAAUGUCGAACAGGAACUCAGUUUCAUGGUCUGCAUUGCUUGCAGUAUAUUGCCACAAUGGUGACUACGAAAAGGCUGUAAAUCUUUUCAGAGAGAUGAAGGAGGUUGACCUCUACAGUUUUGGGACAGUUAUUCGUGCGUGUGCCGGGUUGGCAGCUGUUACUCCAGGGAAGGAGAUUCACUGUCAGUAUAUAAGAAAGGGUGGCUGGAGAGAUGUCAUUGUAGAAUCAGCUCUAGUCGACUUGUAUGCAAAAUGUGGUUGCAUUAAUUUUGCAUAUAGAGUCUUUGAUCGUAUGCCCACAAGAAACUUGAUCACGUGGAAUUCGAUGAUUCAUGGUUUUGCUCAGAAUGGAAGUAGUGGAAUUGCUAUUCAGAUCUUUGAAGCAAUGAUUAAGGAAGGGAUUAAGCCUGAUUGUAUCAGUUUUAUUGGUUUACUUUUUGCUUGUAGUCAUACAGGUUUGGUCGAUCAAGCACGGCACUACUUUGAUCUAAUGACUGGGAAAUAUGGAAUUAAACCAGGAGUUGAGCAUUAUAACUGCAUGGUUGAUCUUCUAGGCCGUGCCGGGCUGCUAGAAGAAGCUGAGAAUUUGAUAGAAAAUGCAGAAUGUAGAAAUGAUUCGUCUCUUUGGCUGGUUCUUCUAGGAGCUUGCACUACUACAUGCACGAACUCUGCUACUGCAGAACGCAUUGCCAAGAAGUUGAUGGAGCUUGAGCCUCAAUGCUAUUUAAGUUAUGUUCACCUGGCUAAUGUUUAUAGAGCAGUAGGCCGAUGGGAUGACGCUGUAAAGGUUAGAGAGUUGAUGAAAAACCGACAGCUGAAGAAGAUGCCAGGUCAGAGUUGGAUGUAAAGAGGUAAAUCAUGAAGGACAAGGUUAUGAGCCUCAUAUUGAACCUGAAUUCAAGACUGAUGAUGAGUUGACAUUGAUUAUUAAAACAUGAUCAUGUCCUUUUGCUCUUCCAAGAUGAAGAAGAACAGCCAUGAGAAGCCACUGAAUAUAUCAAUGAUAUACCAACCUGGUUGAAAAGGUUAUAUAGAGAGAGUUAGUGGAUUUUCAGUUAAUUGGUGUGGAGAAGAAGAGAUAGACUUGCCGGCAUUAACAACAAGAAAUUGAAUGUUUUGUUUUGAUUUUUCUUUCUUUUCCCCCUGGAAAAACUAACUUAUUUAUUUGUUACAUGUGUUCUUACCAUUCUUUACAUCUCUCCAUUUCAACAGAAAUAAAUGGUUGUGGAAUCAGCAAGAGCACCAUCUUUGGAUAAUUAAUUAGCAUGUCAGUGAUUCAAAUCUUCAUCAUCCAGUUGUACUAUUUUUUAAAUGGUAAGAAACAAUUUGGUGUGGAGCCAUAUCGUUUCCUUCUAACCAAAUAGAUUGUCAAGGCAUCUAUUGAACCUAAAAUUGGCUGUUAAUUCUUGUUAAGCACCGUUUGAGAUUUAGAAUAAUUAACCGUGAAAAAAAGUAAUAUAUUAUUUGAUAAAUAUCGGCAUAAGCUUUAAAAGGUAAGUUAUUCGGUAAACAAAUAAAAAACAUCUUGUUUUUAAAUAAUGAAUAAAUAAAUAUAUAAAAUAAAGAAUAAAGUAUAAAAUUGAAAAAUUAGAUAUUAACUAAUAUUUUUACAAACUGAUUUUAAGUACACAUAAAAUCUUUAAAAUGAUUCUAAUAUAUUUAAUUUAAAUAUAUUUUACCAAAACACAAAAAACGAUCAAGAUCUUCAAAUGGUUUUUUUAACGCAACCAACAAAAGGUCAAAAAUUGCAUUAGAAAAAGUAUCUGAUCACCCAAAAGUUAUUGAUAUUCCACGUUUCGAUUUUAAGUCACCAUUAUACCAUUAUAAGUCUCAAUUCUCUCUUUUUUAAAAUUCUAAUCCAAAGUCAAUGUACAACUUCUGAAAAGACAUUUUUUUAUACAGAACCUAAAAUUUAGGAGUACUUUUUAUAAUUUAACCAAAAAAAAAAUAUACAUUAUUACAGCAAAAGUAAUUGUCAAAAUGGAUCUUCAAGAGAAGUAAAGGGAAGAAGAAAUUUUUGUUGUUGUGUGCUUGCUAAAUUUUCUCUGGUUUGUUGGCUAAGACAGUUUAAUGAAUUAAUAGGAAAAUAACACGAUAGGUAACCUCACUAUAUGAAAAACUGAUGUAAUGAAGGUGAUCAAAACAAUGGAUUUUCCUUACACACACACACACACAUACUCUCUCUGUUCAGGUAGGGGGUUGGAGAUGAUGGAGUUGAUCUUUGAGCCUCCUCCUCAGCAUAUUAUAUAUAAACCACUUUUAAUGUUCAUAUCAAAAAGCUGCCCUCAGAGUUCCCAUGGCGGCUUCACGUUUCAUUUCUGCAGCCUUACCGCUACCUCGAAAAUACAUAUAAACUUGCUGCAAAUUUUAUGCAUUAAGUUUUUCAGUGAGAAUCAAAUACAAAUUGAAGGGCAUACGAAGAAGCGGUUUGAUUUCUUUGAGUUACAGACCUGGAUAACCCAUAUGCUGAUUAGAGAUUCAAUGCAGAAGAAUGCAAAACCAAUGAAGUAGAAAAUCUGCAAGAAAGUGUCAUUACUCCUUAAGUACCAGUUUUUCAACAUAAAUCAAUAUACAAACUGACAGAAGAAUCACUACGCUUUUACGAAAAAAUAGAUCAACAGGAGUUUAGUCCUCUGAUUUCAUAAGUUGGUGCUAAAACUCAAUUCCUACACAAUCUUCACUAAUUACUAUUGAAGUUUGCACAUUUAGUGAGCAACUUCAUCUUCCUCUUUCCCUCCAUCUAAUAUUUUUACUCCAAACUUCAUAACUAAAUUCAGUGCUGCAAAUACCACCAAUAAUGAACAACAUGGAUAUUCUAUUUGACAAUAAAACCAUUCAUACGAUUAAAAAGCAAAGCCCAGUCUCUCUUAAAUCACGAGUCAAUAGGUUAAAAAUAUGGCCAAGACCACUACUGCACUAAAAGCUUUUAAUCAGAGUUGAAACAGGGGUUUCAAAAGUAGAAGCAAGCCAUGUACCAGCAUUCGAACUUUUAACAUAGGAUUUAAAACUUGCAAUUCAAUUUUCUUAUGUUGCAGCUCAAUAUAUUGAUUAUAAUUUAAAAUACCUAUAUUAGUUGAUUUUGGUAUAAAUAUAAUAGAUAGCAUUUCAAAACAUAGAGACACAUGCAAACUCGAGUGGACUUACCCCAACCAAAGCGUUACUGCUCAACAGGUCUAUAGCAGGUAAGAUCCCUCUGAAAAAAACAUCAAACAAAUAUCAACUUCUCUCAAGAAAAUUACGAGAGAAUAUUAGUUGCUCAGGAAGUAUAACCCUUAUUUGCAUACAAGAACAUCAAGACUUACGUAAGAGAUUUCCCCUUAAAUAUAAUGGGAGGAGCAACUGCAGAAAAGACGCAGAAGCCAAUAUGAAUCUGGAAGAAGAAAUUUGUUCACUUGAGUACAGAGCAAAACAUCUUCAAAGUUGGAAAAGUAACUGAAAUGUGAAGUUGUGAGGUUACCAGGUAAACUAGGAAAAACCACCCAAACUUCAGAGCACUGUCGGUCCUGUACAUGUUAAUAAUCCAACGUGUCACAAGAAUCACCAUCAUCGAUAAACCAACCAAAUGAACUGAAAGAGUACUAAUUCUUAAAUAAGUUUAUUAAAUACUAUGUGUUCAUCAGCUCCACACCAAUAGAACAACUUCUUUAACUUUGAACAAACAAAUGGUCCUUCUCUCCAGAGAAACAAUCUCUCGCCUAAUUUAGUACAUAUCUUAAGGUAUCUUCCUAUCAGUUACCACAUUAAUAUAGAUUCUUGCAGCUUCCUCGACUCAUUUAAGGGUAAUAUAAUAUUACUAUCUCCAAUGAACAAGUCCCCUAGAAAGUACAAUUGGAAUUUUUUUUUGUUGUGGGGGGGGGGGGGGGGGGGGGGGGGUUCUUUCAUGGUAGAGAAAGAAAAGGCACAGUUCCAUUAAGUUAUACCUUGUAGCACGAUAGAGAGGACGAUACCACCCAACAUACGCUCCAGGUACACCUGAUAUGAAGUAGAUAAUCGCAAGAAACCAUAUUGUUGGACCUGCACGAGAAAUAACUAUUAAUAACAAACCAUAGAAAACAAAAUAUUUUGAAGGGAAAAGGGGGAUGCAAAGAAGAGGAUCAACUCACCUUCACCUUUGAUCCAAGCAGUCGUAACUGCUACAAUAUUCCAUGAAAGGCACACGACCAAACCUAAACAAUAAAAAGUUCAAUUUAAUGUACAUCAAAGCGUCAUAACUGAUCACAUGGAACAGAAGGAAACUGUGUAAGAUUUAGCAAAAUGAUCCACGUUAUAAAAGGAAAUCAUUCCUGGAAAGAUAGAAGGUGCUAUGUAUUUGGAAUUCCCACUUUGAAGUAUGGUGAGGGCCGAGGAGGGAUGAAGAAAAGUGCUCUAGAAUAGUGUAGAGUGGAAUGAAGGCAGAAGGAUAAAUGUCAGCAUGCGUUUAUCUUCAAGUCCACUAGAGAUAUGGGAAUACUACUUUUUUCACUACUAAACAUCGGAAAGAUGCUUCCUUCACCCACCAAUUUAACGAAUCAAUAAUCAAUACUUCAAACAGCACUAAUAUUUUUCUUCCAUUCCAUAAUUGUUACAAACUCUGAUUAAUUAAAAGAACUCAGAACUGACUAUUUUGAGAAAAUCAAGUCUCAUGGUGGUUGUAAGGGUCAUAUGACAAGUUAUUAAAGGUUGGAAGCCAAAAUUUGAUAACAAAAUGUCAUGGGCCAGGAUAUAUUCUCGUUAAGCUGAACCAACCUCGAAGCCUCAGUACUAGUUCACAUGUCAAACAGAAACUUCAACUACAAUUCAAAUGAAUCCACGUGAGGAAAAAUGUAUGAAAUUCAUAUGGAGUAAAUAAACAUAAAAACUACAACAUUGAAAGAUGGUUUGAUAAAUAGCAUGACAUCACCAAAAUCAAGGUUUUAUUUGCCGUUCAAAUUUCAACUUUUAACAUUCCAGUCAUAUCAAAUUAGUCAAACUAUCACGAGACACCAGCAAGAAAAUAGCAUCUGAACUUUCAAACAAGAAUGUAACUUUCAUGACUGAAAAUCCGUCCACUCACCCAACAAUGUUGUGAAGGCAACAUACUGAAUGUUUUGUAGAUGGAUCGGUAUUUCAUUAGCAAUAUCAUGAUGGAUAAGGGGAAAAAAUGGUGGCCAAUUUUUCUCCUCUAUAACAAUUCCAGCUGCCAAAAUUAAUAGAAAAUUUUCAGAUUGGAGAUGAAAGAAUUACAAUUUGCUUGUUUUCUAAUCCAACCAAAUAUAUAUACCUCUUGAAAUGGCAUCUUCCCUUCGUUUUAAAUCCUGAGCAUCAAUUAAGUAGCAAAGUCAUUUAUAAAGGGAUUUUAAUUUAAAAUACAAAGUAUCUGCUAACUCAUAUUACCCUUACAACAAUGAAAUGUAAAUUUGACUGUGAGCAAGAAUGGCCAAUAGUUGUUCUAACUCAUAUUUCUUGUGAACUGAUAAUUAUCACUCGAUUAGAAGCCAAUAAGGGCAAGCCACAAUUUGAGUGUACUAUUGACAUAAAAUAUGUCCUCUGGGUGUUGGAUUUUACGAUGGAUACACCACAUAGCAAAGCAAUUACCUGUUCCCUCUUCUUUAAUUCAGCUUCUUUAGCUUGAAGCUCCUUCUCCUUAGCUUUCAAAUCCUAGAAGUUCAGAGGGAAAGUAAAGGAGGUGAUUCCAUUUCCUCUGAUAAAGUUUCAAAUAGUUAAAAAAAUCCAUAAGAAAGGAAACAUUUCAAAGUACACAAUCCACCUUUCCAUUAUCAAGAGGAAUGUCAAUUGUUGCACCACGAUCAUAAGUUUCAGGGGGAAGAGGUGAGAGCCUCGAGUUUGCAGGUGGAACACUUCCAACUCCAGGAUUCUAGAUAUAAGAAAAACAGUAAAAUUGGAAGGAAUAACGAUAUUAGUUGUUCAAUCAUGAAAAAAUUGGUCAAAACUCCUGGAACGAACAAACUCAGUAAUUCAACAUUGCAUUACUGCAUUACAAAAAUGUAUCAAAAAAGUUUAGAGGAAGAUCAUAGAACUCAAACUGACGUAUUAAAUUCCAUUAAAAAGAGGGAGGGGGCCAGCAUUCCAUUCAUUAUUACAAAUCAUUAAUAGGCCAUGAUAAUUCAAUAAACAAGAAAGAAUACAAAAUUAACUCGGUCAUAUUAGCCUCUCCUGAAUCUCAUUUCCAGAAAACAAAACGCAGCAGUUCAAACACCACAAAAGUUCUCAAUAAUCACAUUUACUACGUUCCAUCAAUAGAAAACAACGCAAUUACACGGAAAAUCUUAGAAAAAGAACCAAUGCAGCCUGCAGGGAAUAUUUAUUUCAUUUCAUCUUUAUCUUGCAUAGACGAACUUGUUUAACAAAUAUCAACAUAACAAUGAAGUGAAAGACCAUUAACAGAUCUGAGAAUCCAUUAUACCAAAGAAAAAACCAUAAAUAACUCAAAACAAUAGAAUGAAACCAAAAAAAAAGGGGGGGGGGGGGGGGAAUGAAGAAAAGAAAAAUGCUCAUUACAUAGAUCGACAAAAUACAAAAAAUCGUAAACCAGAAACAGCAAUGUAUAAUCCGAAUGUAACAAGAACAAAAGCGGAGGAAAGAGGAAGAGAACUUACAGAAAAUGGAUUGACGUCUUCGUCGAAAGGAUUGGAAUCGUAGCGACUCAUUAGGAAGAUCCAAACGUAUUAUUAUUGUGUUGAAAGGAAAAUACAAAGAAAUGAAAGAAUAAGAUUGAAACCAAAGGUUUCUUACAGAAAAUGUAGAUUCGGGAAGAAGGAAAGAACAAAGAAUGAAUCUCGAAAUUCCUUUUUUUUUUUUUUUCUUCUUUUUUUUUGCUUUUUUUGAUUGGUUUUUGGCUUUUUGGCUUUCGGUGUGUGUUUCUGUUUCUUGUUUGUUAUCCCAACAAAAACCGAAGCGAAAAAUGUUGGCGCGUGAAAAAGAGUUUAAUGUAAUUAAAACACACAUCUUAUUGUUCUAAUCUCACUCUAAUUCGUGAUUUACUUGGGACCCACCCCGCAACAUUGCACUUUUUUCUACGUUUAUAAACUUUUCAUAUAUUCUUAAAAUUGAAAUUUUAACAUUAACAUCUCUUAUGGUUGAAGUAAAUUUCACUUUAUAUACGAAAGUAUGGUAUAAAUAAAAAAUAAUUAGAUUAAAACUUAUAUUGAAAUUUUUAAAACUAUAACCAACCACAUGCAUAAUUAAAUCUUAAACUUUGUUUAAUGCUUCUGAAUUUAUAAUUUCGCGUUGAGAUAAUUUUUAGUGAAAUUGUUAAAAAUGAAAGAAAUUGGCAAAAGAGUUGUACAUGAUAAUCAUUUUUUCUUUUUUCUUUUUUUUUUGGCUUUAGUGAUGUCUUGCCAUUUAUGUAAAUAUUUAGUGAUUUUUUAUUAUAUUUGAAAAAACCAAAAAUUUUACAUAUAUAAUUUGAAAAGAACAAAAAUCUUAUCCUUUGAGGUUUUAAAAUUUAAUUUAGUCCCCACUUGUGAUGACACUCAUAGCAAACCUACCUUAAUAUCUUUCUUAAUUAUGAAUUAUCUAGCAUUUUUAUAGUAAUUUAUUUAUAAUAUUCUAAGAUGAGUUAUAAGAUAUUUACUAAUUCUUGCUAUGAAAAAAAAUGAAAAUUAGAAACUAUUUAGUACAAAAUUUCAAGUGCUUAAAAACUUUUUAUUACUUGAAAAUCCAUUACAAACUCAUAAAUACACCCAUGGUUAUAAGAGAUUGAAUAGAAAACAAUCACAUUAAAGAUAUUGCUAAGUUUGUGCAGCCAAGUUUAAGAACCUGUAGAAACCUGCCUGCACGUUGUAGUUCACCAAAAGCACAUCUCAUAAAAGAAAUAUAUUUUUCAUUAUUAAGAAUUAAAAGGUAACUAAACAAUGGAAGUGACACCAACAAUGGGUUAGCAUAUAUUUCUUCAGAAUACACAUCACUAUCUAGUUUAAACAAUGGAAUGAUUACAGAUUACAAAUGAUUCACCACAAGAAUUGAAGCUCUGCUGCUACGAAAGUGUUCUCUUUAGAUAAAGCAGAUGGAAGAAGACGAAUGGCUCGUAAGUUGGUUUGCAAAACUUGAGCAUGUUACAAUUGGAAUUCGCUCGAAAAUCUUUGGUCUUCUAUGAGAAAUAUGGCAAAUUUUUCUGAAGUUAUUUUGCUUCUUAGCUGAAUGGAUUUGGCUAACUCUAAGCAAAAACCAUAUCAACCCUCACUUGAACCACUGCCUUGUGGUUCUCUCCUAAUCAUGUUGAGCAAGUCUUGAACAACUGAUGACAUUGGUGGCCGGAAUUCAGGCUCGGACUGCAAAAUGUAAUUAAGAUUAGGUGAAGGUGAUCCAUUUGGGGUGGAUGGAAAAAUCAAAAUCAAAAUUAGAAGGGUGCAGUCCAACUCUUCCAGGUUGGAGCAUGAAGGCAUUAUAAUGGCUAAGAUACUAUUUGGCAAAUCAAUAGGAGUAAAUGAAGAACAAUACUUCCAAUACCAAUGUCAUUAAGCUGCAUGCUCACCUGAACACAUUUAGAUAUGAUAUCGGCAAAGUAUGAUAAGGACUUGGCAGGGUAUCGACCAUUGAGUGAAGGAUCAACCAUGCUUGUCAAUGCCUCUAUGUCGUGAAGCUGCGGAAUUGCCCAUCUAACUAGAAACUGCUCACCUCUGAUCCUUGUUCUAUCCAAAGAGUGGAAAAAGGACAAUGAAUAUACUAGAAAUGUCCCAAUAACAAUCAAGCAUUUUCUUUCAACCACUUACCUGUCGUAAGACAUCCGGCCAGUUAGAAGUUCCAGCAUAACCACACCAAAGCUGUAAACAUCACUCUCAAGUGUAUAAACACCUGAUUCAAAUUCUGGCGCUCCAUAACCAUAUGCAGUUAGAAGCUGACCAGAGAGCUGGGAAGUAUGGAAAAUAAGUUUCGAUAAAAUUUAACCUUUCAAAUGUACAUUUUGGGUUUUGUAGCAUAGUUACAUUCACAAAGAGAGAAUCUCGACAAUGAGAAGAUUAAAGGUUAUGGCUUACCUGACUAACAGCUCCUUUUGAUAUUAGUGGAGCCAGCCCACAAUCUGAAACACGCACUGAAAGAUCAUCAUCCAGUAGAAUAUUCGCAGAUUUGAAGUUCCUAUGAAUAACAGGUGGCUGACAGACCUCAUGCAAAUACCUUCAAACAAAAGAUGAAAACCAAAUGAAUACAAAAGUACACACAUUUUCCCUUUAUAGUUCAGAUUGGCUUGUUGAACAGUUGAGAAUGAUUAAAAAGAAGAUGAAAAUAUCCAUACUUACCUCCAUACUCAAAACUUAUUAGCCAGUUCAAGAAGGAUAACCAGUUUCCCCAGUUAUACUUACUCCAUGAUUACCCAACACCUCCCUUACAUUGAUCCCAUGUUAAUUAAAAAGGCUCUUUCCUAUAACUCUUAACUUAUGGACUUGCCCUUCUAAAUUAUUGCCAUCCCAAAGAAGCAACACCUCUAUCAGAUGUAUAUUUUAUGCCGGAAAAUUAAAAGGGUUAACUAAAUUGAAAAUCUCAUGCAGUUUUCUUUUUACCUAAGUUACAUUUUCUAGUACUUUAAGAAAAAAUAAAAGCCUGAACUGUCCAGAAAUGCCCACCAACAGCUUUAACGCUCUUAAUAUACCUUGUGUUAGUGAAUAACUUUGUAACUUAAAAGAGAACAAGAAAACCAUACUUGUAUGAUAAUGGAAAACCAAUUCUUUUUUCCUCCGCUAGAAACAGCAUAGAAGGCUGAAAAGCGCUAUUAAGUUCAAUUCCCAGCAUGAAUUUUAUAGCGUAUAUUGAUAUUUUAAGCACUUGCACUAAAAAUGAAUAAAUGAUCUCAAAAUAAGGCUAGAUCACCAGACUUUAUUGCUUAAUAGCUGGACUGUACAACUAAUAAUGCAAAAGAACUACUUAAAUAUUUUGUUUCAAGUAACAUAAACAUUGAGAACCUCAUUACGAAACCUUGAUCAUGAAAAUCAGCCAAAAACUAAGCACAGCAGCUUUAAAGGUUAAGAAAUUCAGGAAGGGAAGGCUACAACCAAUGGCCUAAAUUACUUCGAAGGGAGAAGCAAAUAGGUGGAAAAGCUCAAACUUGCAUGAAAGAGGUCAUAUGAAUAGUAAACUUACUCCAAGGCUCUUGCAGCCCCAAGAGCCAUUCUAAUGCGGGCAUUCCAUGAAAGCUUCUUUCUGAACUCUUCGUCUGAGUGCAGUGCAUCCUGCAAUGUUCCACCACUGCAAUACUCAAAGAUAAGAAGCCUUUCACCAUGCUCUGCACAGUAACCACUGAGCUCAACCACAUUAGCAUGUCGGAUUCUAUCAAUAUUAUUGACCAGCUCGAGAAACUCAUCAUCCUUUUGCAGACUGAAUGCUCUCUUAUCCAGUUUCUUGACGGCCAGUACCUUCAAAGUCAUUAGAAUGGUUAAAUGUCAGUUUUGAGAUCAUAACAACUUAGACAAUAUAACAAUGUAUAUCAAUAGUGUGAAAAUGAGGUCGGAAUGAUCAAAUUGUCAGCUAAAUUAUGAGCGGCAUAACAGCUAUUCACAAAAACCCUGCAGAUUCAAUAAUACAUAAAGAGAGCCCCCAUGCUCGCUUUAUCCUUGUUUGCCUGAAAAAGCUCUGUCCAUAACUUCAAACAUCAAGAAGGGAAAUACAAAUAGAGGGGGAGAUGAGGUAAAGCUCUCUAUGCUUGACACUUUUUUCUAUUUCGGCGUUUGGAAAUUGAUGUGGUGAUUCUUCUUGAAAGUGCAUCCUAUUACUUCAAAUUGUAGAAUGUGAAAACAUCAGUACUCAAGAAGAUAGUGGCCUUCUUUUAGCAACAUGAUAUGCCUAUUGAAGAAGGGAGCAAAAGAAAAACAAUCUGAAUAUUUUGCACAGUUUACUGCACUAGGUUUAUAAUCAACAGCUACUAAGAAGCUAGAUUAAGCGGGCUGGUCAGGGGUCAAAUAAGACUAAUCAGUACAUUCUACACUUGUUCAUGUCCUAGCCCAACUAAACUAAGUUUUAUCCCUCAACCUGAGCAUGGUUAGAAUUAAUAUAUCUUCAAAUCUAACUCCAAAUAUGUACUUCAAUUGCUGACGAUAUGAUAGAAUCAAAAUCAGCUCAUAUAACAAUCGGUAAAAUUAAUGAGAGACGGGAAGAAUAGAACAUAAGAUGUUGCAGGAAAGAAACUACAGUGACAUUUUCAUUCAACUAAAAAGGAUUAGCAAAGAGUUAGAAACGAAAUGACAUAAAUUAUAGCAGUAAACUUACUUUCCCACUGGGGAGGUGUGCCCUAUAAACAUUUCCCAGCAUUCCUUCUCCUAGAAGAUUCUCUUGUGAAAAGCUGUUUGUAUAUUGCUGAAGGGACGCAAUGGUAUAAGGUCUCGCAAAAGGUAAGGUAAUUUUAUUUUUAGUGAGAGGCUUCAAGGGAGGAACUUCGGCUGGAACAGUGGGCACGGCAGUGACCUCUUCAACAGGAGGGGGAGGGGGAGGGGGAGGAGGAGGUGGUGGGGGAGGGGGAGGGGGAGGAGGAGGCAUUAGAUAGACAUCGAGUGUGCUCAUAUCUACUUCAUGAUGAUCCUUCUUUGGAAUGGCGCUCAUUCUUGGCAUGUUUUUCUCUCUCUCUACAUUAUCUUUUGGAACCUUCUGAACCUCUGUUUGAGUCUCCUGCUUCAUCCUUACA